This 72204-nucleotide long non-coding RNA is filed under the name Hordeum vulgare. RNAcentral's name for it is "long non-coding RNA (HVUL_LNC012932)". Lineage: Eukaryota; Viridiplantae; Streptophyta; Magnoliopsida; Poales; Poaceae. The record is from RNAcentral.
GGCGGGGGACGGGGGAGGGGGCGGGCGGCGGCGGCGGCGGGUGGUGGGGCCCGAAGAUGAGGCGGUCCUUGUAGGAGGAGGCCGGGGAGGGCGGCGGCGCGGCGUCGAAGUUGGAGACCGGCGCGUGGCUCCGGCAGCGGGUGGAGCAGCUGCGGCGCCGUGGUCGGGAGCAGCGGGUCCGUGUCCAUGGCCGGAGACCACCGACCGGGGCCGGGCGGGGGGUUUCUUGGUUGGAUUCUUGAUGAAUACCCUCGGGGAUUCCUCGAUGCGGCCCGAGAUUCGUCGGGAUUUUGAGCGAGGCGCGACUCGGGUUCUUAUCCUCGGGGUCGCCGGUGGGGAUGAGGUGAUUGAAGGUCGAAUGAGGAGGAGGAGGAGGAGGAGGAGGGAGGGAAGGGAGGGAGGCGGGAGGGCGGAGGCUGGCGGGACGUUGGCGAGUGGCCYACGUUGACGACGGCGAUGCCUAUAUUUCUUACGGGCUUAAUUUUGUCUUCGUUUCGUCGGGUCUURUUAWUAGUGUGUGCGUNNNNNNNNNNNNNNNNNNNNNNNNNNNNNNNNNNNNNNNNNNNNNNNNNNNNNNNNNNNNNNNNNNNNNNNNNNNNNNNNNNNNNNNNNNNNNNNNNNNNUCUCUUUCUAGCUUGUAGACCACAAACUCCGAUUUCCUGAAACAACGCGAAUAGCAAACAUUAACCAAUACAGCUGCUACAACCAAGGCAAGUUGUAUAAAAAUAGGAACUAAAACAAAUGCUCUUCCAGGAAGUGUGACGGAAAAUAUUUCUUAUUAUUCCGUUCUGGCUGUGAAGUAACUGUUAGCUAAAAGUAUUAACACCAUGAGCAUUUCGAGAAAAUUGUCUAUUUGUGUUGCCACCAAAUUAAACGUAAAUAACUAAAUGUGGGUGUAAUAUGCAGUUUCAGGAGUACAGAGCAGUCUGAUGCAAUCAGCAGCCUAAAUGACAUUGAUUUACUAUUGCAAUCUGAAUAUUGUGUUUGAAUGACAACUGGUGUAUAAUGCUAAGGCAGACAKAAAAGGGUGCAGCUUCCAUCUUUUAUUGCUUAUAAGCGCGCUCCAUUUUCUUUCUUGUGGUGCUAGACGCAAAUCACUUGGAUGCAUACAUGCCAAACCCAGCAAACAACAAAUGCUUCUACAACAAAAUGUUACAAAUCAAUGUGACUAAGAAAUGGAUGACAGAAACAAGUUAUUACCAAUUCAACNNNNNNNNNNNNNNNNNNNNNNNNNNNNNNNNNNNNNNNNNNNNNNNNNNNNNNNNNNNNNNNNNNNNNNNNNNNNNNNNNNNNNNNNNNNNNNNNNNNNUAUUAAAAGGAGAACCUUAAUAUCCCGUAUUUUCCAUUAGGACCCCGCUGCCACGGGAGGGAUGGACAAUAGAUGUCAUGCAAGUUCUUUUUCCCUAAGCAGUAUGACUACAUACGGAAUACAUGCCUACAUUAGAUUGAUGAACGGGAGCUAGUUACAUAUCUCUCUGUGUUAUAGCUGUUAGAUGAUGAAUCACAUCUGUCACACUCAUCCAUCACCGAUCCACUGCCUACGAGUCUUUUACUACUGGUUAUCGCUACGUUACUUUGCCUAGGCUUGUCCCUUGCUACCAAAGGGAUUGGGCCACUUUGCUGUUGCUGUCACUACUGUUGUUACUUGUUACUUUGCUACCGCUGCUACUACUGUUCCUUGCUACUCCGACGUUACUUGUUGCAGGUACUUUGUUGGCGCUAACAUCCCGUCAACAAGGUCUUUUUCUGGUGCCGUUUCCGGGAUUGUCAAGUCCUUUUCUGGUGCCGUUGCUAUCAUACUACCUUGCUACUGUACNNNNNNNNNNNNNNNNNNNNNNNNNNNNNNNNNNNNNNNNNNNNNNNNNNNNNNNNNNNNNNNNNNNNNNNNNNNNNNNNNNNNNNNNNNNNNNNNNNNNACAUAUUAGAAAAAAUACUUUAGAACAAACAUUCGAUAACUUUAAUGAAGAAUUUGAGAAAAUAUUAAUCAAGCAUUUGUAAAAACUAAAUGUGUGUUGAAAAAAUAAUCUCAUGAAUAUGAAAACUUUAUACAAAAAUAUACAUUGUGUAUGAAAACAUUUGAUGACGUAUUUUAAAAAUGUUAUUCUUGUAGUUAAAAAAUGUUAAUAAAUAAUUUCAAAACGUUAAAUAUGUAUAGAAAAAAGGUCGACAAUGCACUAUAAUGUUAAUACUGUAUUUGAAAAAUAUGUUAAUCAAGCAUUGGAAAAUAAUAAUAAAUGAGUAUCGACAAAAUAUGGGACAUGUAUUAAAGAAAUGUUAAUCAAAUAAUUUUAAAAAAUGUUUAAAGUGUGUAUUAUAAAUAUUGACCAUGUAUUUAAAUAAUGUUAAUCUUGUAUUGGAAACUAUUAACCAUCAAUUACAAUAUAUUAGAUAUAUACCAAAAUAGUACAGUGUGUGCGUNNNNNNNNNNNNNNNNNNNNNNNNNNNNNNNNNNNNNNNNNNNNNNNNNNNNNNNNNNNNNNNNNNNNNNNNNNNNNNNNNNNNNNNNNNNNNNNNNNNNAUAUUUUUAUUCACCACAUGAUAUGUGUUUUGCUUGGAGUGUAUUGUAUCGUCGGAGUCUUUUCUUUUUGUUGUGUCACAAUCAUCCUUGCUGCACACCUUUAUAGGGAGCCAUGCACUCAUCGUGAUUUUGCUAGAAUGCUCAUCGUGCUUCACUUAUAUCUUUUGAGCUAGAUAAUUUUGCUCUAUUUGCUUCACUUAGAUAUUUUAGAGCACGACGGUGUGUGACUUGGUAGUUGGCUUUAUGCUAUGAAAGUAGUCCCAAAGGUGAUAGGUGAUACGUCUCAAACGUAUCUAUAAUUUUGAUGGUUUCAUGCUGUUAUCAUGUCAACUUUGCAUGUUUUAUGUACCUUUUAUAUCUUUUUGGGACUAACUUAUUAAUUUAGUGCCAAGUGCCUAGUUCCUUUUUUUCUGUUAGUUUUUGACUCUUUUCAGAUCUGAUUUUGGAAUGGAGUCCCAAAACGGAAAUAAAAACUACCCCCAAAAUCUAAUUUUUUCCAGAACGGAAGAACGAUCAGGGGACUUGACGGGCCAAGGCAANNNNNNNNNNNNNNNNNNNNNNNNNNNNNNNNNNNNNNNNNNNNNNNNNNNNNNNNNNNNNNNNNNNNNNNNNNNNNNNNNNNNNNNNNNNNNNNNNNNNCAUUUGUCAUCUAAGAAGUUUACACAAAAACAACAAAGUAGCAAGGAAAAACUCAAAACCCUAGCCACCAUUUCAAKUAAAGGAAAUCWCAAACUAGUUCAAAAUCAAUGAACCCAAAAUGGCCUCAAGAAAUGUUCAAACUUUCUGAUAAAUCAUGAAAGUAAAUGAGCAUUGGAGAAAACUAUUUUCUUGACACUUUAAGCUUUUUGAAUAAAUGAAAAAGGCUACUGGUUUCAAGUUUUAAAUUUGAAAUCAGAAACUAUAAAUUUCCAAAAAAUGUUGAAAACCUUGGAAAUGGUUGGGGGAUAUUAUAACAAAUAUUUCAGGAGGUCUAAAAUUAGUUUUUACUUGUUGUUUGGAGCUGAAUUAAUUAGCAAAACAAUAAUUAGACAAAACAGAAAAACAAAAACAGAAAAAAAUAGGAAAAACCUUACCUAGUACGACCUAAGCCUCGGCCCGGCCCAUCCCGUGGCCUCCGGUCCCCUCCCGUCGCCGCCGAGUACGGCACGCGAGGNGGUCGGCCCGCCCGCCCCGUCCGGCCGGCCGGCCGACCGNNNNNNNNNNNNNNNNNNNNNNNNNNNNNNNNNNNNNNNNNNNNNNNNNNNNNNNNNNNNNNNNNNNNNNNNNNNNNNNNNNNNNNNNNNNNNNNNNNNNAGUAGCUACUAAAGUUAGACGACUAGGUAUUCGAACCCCAUACAUAUCAAGUACGACACACGUACGCAUGACAUAACCGUUAUGUAUAGAUACAUCGAUGGCAUCACAACACAACCAUAAACAUACAACCUUUAUUUAAGAGGCUCGGAAGAGCCACACAACAUAAUAUUACACAUUUAAGGGUCUCACGUACCCUAUAAUAGCAGUCAUGCAAUUACAAGCCAACGGAGAGUUAUAAACUGUCUGGGUACAGACAGGGCAACUAGAAGGCACGAUGGCCUGACUAUACUACAGAGCCGGACGUAGGGCCAGAUCGUAGCUGGGACACCAGCUACUCGUCGUCGUCGAUGUCUACGAAGAACCCUCCAUUAGGGUCAUUAGGCAAACCUCUGCAACUAUUUAUUAAGCAAACAUGAGUACGAAGGUACUCAGCUAAGUACUUUUCGGAGAACGUAAACUACUCAUAGCAAGGUAUACUAAAAGGUACUUGUGGGGUUUCAUGCGGGAAGCCAAGGCAGUUUGACUCGUGGCUAGUACAACUUUGCANNNNNNNNNNNNNNNNNNNNNNNNNNNNNNNNNNNNNNNNNNNNNNNNNNNNNNNNNNNNNNNNNNNNNNNNNNNNNNNNNNNNNNNNNNNNNNNNNNNNAUGCUGUGUUAACAUUUUAAGUUUCUAUAAUUUAAUUUGUAUAGACUAAAUUUAAGAUUUCUAAUAUUUGUAUUUGGUAACAUUUUAAAAAAUAAUGAAUGAAACAAAAUAAUUGAAUUCUAUUUUAACUAGAAGGUAACAUACACAUGUGGUUUUUCAUAAUAGGCACGUACACUAGAUUACUAGUAACUAGAGGAUACCCCACACAAUGCUACAAGAAUUUCUUGAUAAAAAUUUAGGUUGAUAACAUGAGAAUCAAAAUUUAAACUACACAUAACUUAUUUUUGAUUAUGUAUAGUUGUAAAAUAUUUUCUGAAUAUAACCAAAAUAAUUAAAUGGAAAAUAUUUUUCCCAUGCAUCAUUGAAUGUUGCGGUGAUUUUUUGCCAUGCAUGGUUGCAUGUUGACCUCGACCUUAUCCAAUUAAUAGUCUUAUGGUGAUGUGGCAUGUUUAUAUGUGAAGACAAAUACUUAGUGGGAUAGCUCUCUUUAAUAUAUAUGAUUGUUAUUCUAACAAUUCAGUAUACUACUCCCUCUUGUUUCUUAAUUAUUAAGUUUUUUAGUAAAUUACUAUUAAGUAAAUUAGUCAUACAGUAUGUAUAUAGACUANNNNNNNNNNNNNNNNNNNNNNNNNNNNNNNNNNNNNNNNNNNNNNNNNNNNNNNNNNNNNNNNNNNNNNNNNNNNNNNNNNNNNNNNNNNNNNNNNNNNAUGAUGUAGAUGGCAAGACUCACUAUCUAUGNUAAUACCAUCUGUACUGAUGCACANCCUAUCCCCUGUGUGCCUUGCUGCCCCUUCUAUCACUGGGAAAGGUCACCACACGGUAUGAACCCAAACCAAGCACUUCUCCCAUUGCAAGAAUCAUAGAUCUAGUUGGCCAAACAAAACCCAAGACUCGGAGAGACUUACAAGGAUAUGAAAUCAUGCAUAUAAGAAAUCAGCAAAGACUCAAAUAUAUAUCAUAGAUAAUCUGAUCACAAAUCCACAAUUCAUCGGAUCUCGACAAACACACCGCCAAAGAGGAUUACAUCGGAUAGAUCUCCAUGAAGAUCAUGGAUAACUUUAUAUUGAAGAUCCAAGAGAGAGAAGAAGCCAUCUAGCUACUAACUACGGACCCAAAGUGUGAAGUGAACUACUCACGAGUCAUUGGAGGGGCGGAUGAUGUUGAUGUAGAAGCCCUCCAACUCCAAAGUCCCCUCCGUCAGGGCACCGGGAAGGGUCUCUAGAUGAGAUCUCGCGGAAACGGAAGCUUGCGGCGGCGGAAAAGWGUUUUCGUCGAUUCCCCUAUUUUUUCUUGUAUUUUAGGGAAUAUAUAGGCGAAGGAGCUAGGUCAGGGGGGCGACCAAGGAGGCCACAAGCCUGGUAGCCGUCGCCCCUGGUGGCGGCUACACGGCUUGUGGGCCCCGUGUGGCUCUCCUGUCUUGGCCCUCAAGUCCCCUGAUCUUCUUCCUUUAUAGANNNNNNNNNNNNNNNNNNNNNNNNNNNNNNNNNNNNNNNNNNNNNNNNNNNNNNNNNNNNNNNNNNNNNNNNNNNNNNNNNNNNNNNNNNNNNNNNNNNNGACCUAGCUCCUUCACCUAUAUAUUCCCUAAAAUACAGAAAAAAUAGGGGAAUCCACGAAAACACUUUUCCGCCGCCGCAAGCAUCCGUUUCCGUGAGAUCUCAUCUGGAGACCCUUCCCGGUGCCCUGCCGGAGGGGACUUUGGAGUUGGAGGGCUUCUACAUCAAUAUCAUCGCCCCUCCAAUGACUCUUGAGUAGUUCACUUCACACCUACGGGUCCGUAGUUAGUAGCUAGAUGGCUUCUUCUCUCUCUUGGAUCUUCAAUACAAAGUUCUCCAUGAUCUUCACGGAGAUCUAUCCGAUGUAAUCCUCUUUGGCGGUGUGUUUGUCGAGAUCCGAUGAAUUGUGGAUUUGUGAUCAGAUURUCUAUGAUAUAUAUUUGAGUCUUUGCUGAUUUCUUAUAUGCAUGAUUUGAUAUCCUUGUAAGUCUCUCCGAGUCUUGGGUUUUGUUUGGCCAAUUAGAUCUAUGAUUCUUGCAAUGGGAGAAGUGCUUGGUUUUGGGUUCAUACCGUGUGGUGACCUUUCCCAGUGACAGAAGGGGCAGCAAGGCACACAGGGGAUAGGNNNNNNNNNNNNNNNNNNNNNNNNNNNNNNNNNNNNNNNNNNNNNNNNNNNNNNNNNNNNNNNNNNNNNNNNNNNNNNNNNNNNNNNNNNNNNNNNNNNNGCUAUUAUCUUGUCAAACUUUGGAUGUUUGCUAUGCCUUUAUAUAUUUUUGGUACUAACUUAUUAACUCAGUGCCAAGUGCUAGUUCCUGUUUUUUUCCAUGUUUUUUUACCCCUUUCACAGGAGGAUUUUUGAACGGAGUCCAAACGGAAUGAAACUGCCAAAAAGAUUUUUUCCGGAACACAAAAAGAUCGGAGAGCCGGAGAAUCAGGGCACGGGGCCACCAGGGACCCCACAAGCCCUCACGACGCGGCGAGGGGGAGGCCGCGGCCCCCUGGCUUGUGGGCUCCCUCAGGCUCCGUUGCCCUAGGUUUGCGCCUAUAUAUUCCCAAAAAUCCCAUAAAAAUCAGGAGAUCAUCGAAAGUACUUUUCCGCUGCCGCAAGCUUCUGUCUCCGCAAGAUCCCAUCUGGGGCACGUUCUGGUGCCCUGCCGGAGGGGGGAUUCGGACACGGAGGGCUUCUUCAUCAACACCAUGACCUCUCCGAUGAUGCGUGAGUAGUUCACCAUAGACCUACGGGUCCAUAGCUAGUAGCUAGAUAGCUUCUUCUCUCUCUUGGAAUUUCAAUACAAAGUUCUCCAUGAUCUUCAUGGAGAUCUAUCCGAUGUAAUCUUCUUUUGCGGUGUGUUUGUCGAGAUCCGAUGAAUUGUGGAUUUAUGAUCAGAUUAUCUAUGAAUAUAUAUUUGAGUCUUUGCUGAUUUCUUAUAUGCAUGAUUUCAUAUCCUUGUAAGUCUCUCCGAGUCUUGGGUUUUGUUUGGCCAACUAGAUCUAUGAUUCUUGCAAUGGGAGAAGUGCUUGGUUUUGGGUUCAUACCGUGUGGUGACCUUUCCCAGUGAUAGAAGGGGCAGCAAGGCACACAGGGGAUAGGNNNNNNNNNNNNNNNNNNNNNNNNNNNNNNNNNNNNNNNNNNNNNNNNNNNNNNNNNNNNNNNNNNNNNNNNNNNNNNNNNNNNNNNNNNNNNNNNNNNNCCGUACCCAGGGACCCCGACCGAAGACCCGUCACGACGACGGCGACGGGGGAGGGCCCGCGGGCCCCCUUCGGCCGUUUGUGGGCGUCCCUCCAGGCGUCSGUUGCCCUAGGUUUGCGCCUAUAUAUUCCCAAAAAUCCAUAAAAAARUCAGGAGAUCAUCGAAAGUACUUUUCCGCUGCCGCAAGCUUCUGUCUCCGCAAGAUCCCAUCUGGGGCACGUUCUGGUGCCCUGCCGGAGGGGGGAUUCGGACACGGAGGGCUUCUUCAUCAACACCAUGACCUCUCCGAUGAUGCGUGAGUAGUUCACCAUAGACCUACGGGUCCAUAGCUAGUAGCUAGAUAGCUUCUUCUCUCUCUUGGAAUUUCAAUACAAAGUUCUCCAUGAUCUUCAUGGAGAUCUAUCCGAUGUAAUCUUCUUUUGCGGUGUGUUUGUCGAGAUCCGAUGAAUUGUGGAUUUAUGAUCAGAUUAUCUAUGAAUCUUAUUUGAGUUUCUUCUGAUCUCUCUUAUGCAUGAUUUCAUAUCCUUGUAAUUCUCUUCGAGUUGUGGGUUUUCUUUGGCCAACUAGAUUUAUGAUUCUUGCAAUGGGAGAAGUGAUUGGUUUUGGGUUCAUACCGUGCGGUGACCUCACCUAGUGACAGGAAGGGGUAGCAAGGCACACGAGGGGAUAGGNNNNNNNNNNNNNNNNNNNNNNNNNNNNNNNNNNNNNNNNNNNNNNNNNNNNNNNNNNNNNNNNNNNNNNNNNNNNNNNNNNNNNNNNNNNNNNNNNNNNCCUAUCCCCUGUGUGCCUUGGAGCCUUGCGUUGGUGUUCCCUCGAAGCGGAAAGGGUGAUGUAGCACAAUGGCGGUAAGUAUUUCCCUCAGUUUUGAGAACCAAGGUAUCGAUCCAGUGAAGGAUUGUCACAAGUACCUACACAAACACAAAGAGCUUGCACCCAACGCUAUGAGGGGUUUGUCAAUCCCUUAUAGAUUGUUUCCCAAGUGAGAACUGAAAGCAACAAAGAGUAAACACAACAAAGUAAAAGUGAAAGUGGAAACGAUAGGUGUCAAUAGACCCGGGGGCCGUAGUGUUCACUAGUGGCUUCUCUCAUGAAAUCAAGUAGACGGUGGGUGAACGAAUUACUGUCGAGCAAUUGAUAGAACCGCGCAAAGUCAUGACGUUAACUAUGGCAAUGAUUAUAUCUAUAGGGAUCACGUCCAAAACAAGUAGACCGAUACUUUCUGCAUCUACUACUAUUACUCCACACGUCGACCACUAUCCAACAUGCAUCUAGUGUAUUAAGUUCAUGAGAACAGAGUAACGCCUUAAGCAAGAUGACAUGAUGUAGAUGGACAAUCUCAUAUCUAUGAUAAAAUCCCAUCUUGUUACCGUUGAUGGCAACAACAUGAUNNNNNNNNNNNNNNNNNNNNNNNNNNNNNNNNNNNNNNNNNNNNNNNNNNNNNNNNNNNNNNNNNNNNNNNNNNNNNNNNNNNNNNNNNNNNNNNNNNNNACCUUGCUCUGAUACCAAUUAGAAAAGUACCUCGAUGACGCCUAGAGGGGGGUGAAUAGGCUAUUUAAAAACUUCUUCGGAUUUGGCUUAACCUAAUGCGGAAAUAAACUAAGAGGGUACUUGUCAAGCACAAAUCCUAAAUGCACUAGGCACUGCAACGUGUAUCAACAACACGAUCUACCAAGAUGGACACAAUACAGUUACUAACGAUCACAAGUAAGUUACACAAACUUACUUGAGCUAUAUCACACGACAAGUAGGUGAACGACACAAGAUACUAGAUCACGCUAUAUCACACGAUAUAUCAAAAGCUGCAAGUGUGAACGUGUGGAUAUAGAGGGUAUGCUUGAGUGAUUAAUCUUGUACAAGAAAUAGGCAACACAAUAUAGUGAGCACAACCAAUAUGCAAUGUACGUAUGCUCAAGUAACACAAGUAAACCACAAGUAAGGAGUUAGGGUCAAGGAUAACCAAGGUCACUGAGACGAAGAUGUAUCUCGAUGUUCACUUCCUUGGAGGGAAGCUAGUCACCGUUAGAGAGGUGGAUGUUACCACGAAGGCACACAGGGGAUAGGAGCUNACCUAUCUCCUUGAGACUACACCACGAAGCGUUUCNCACCAUAGUGGUAANCCUUUGAGGUUGGCUUCCAAACCUNNNNNNNNNNNNNNNNNNNNNNNNNNNNNNNNNNNNNNNNNNNNNNNNNNNNNNNNNNNNNNNNNNNNNNNNNNNNNNNNNNNNNNNNNNNNNNNNNNNNAUGAGGAUGAUGCCUGAUUAAUUGAUGAUAUUGAUGAGGGUGAUCCUUGAGUAUGUGAUAGCAUUGCUGGUUUUCCCUCCUUUUUGGUCCUUGAUGCCAAAGGGGGAGACCAUUAUCUUAUCUUAGUUUUCGAUUUUAGUUCCUCUCACAAUGUAUGGUAUGAUGUAUUAUGUCGAACUUAAUGAUGUAUCAUCAUGUAACAAUACUUAUGGAUGGUGUGCUAUGCCAUCACCUAUGGAUGAUGUAUUGUUGAACUAUCAUGUGGUGAUGAGAUAUCACGAUAUUAUCGUUGUGUCAUAUGAUGAUGAGUUUUAUGCUAUCCUAUUGAUUCAUAUGAUAUGCUAUGUAUUGUUGAACUAUUAUGGUGUUAUAUCAUGCUAUUAUCUUCAAUGCACACAUUAAGGGGUAGCUCUCGCACUUACCUAUUUUACUAUGCAUAUAAUAAGGGGGAGCUUCAUAAGCAUCGUAACAAAACUCUCCUAAGCCACACAUGUCUAUUACUAUUGUUGAGAGCUAUAUGUAUGUUGUCAUCAACUACCGAAAAAGGGGGAGAUUGAAAGUGUAGUCAUGCCCUUAAUCGUGUUUUGGUGUUGCUGACAACACACAUAUAGAUAAUUAAUCACUWAMCCUUUUUAAGCUAUUGUGAAUGAUCAUGUGUUNNNNNNNNNNNNNNNNNNNNNNNNNNNNNNNNNNNNNNNNNNNNNNNNNNNNNNNNNNNNNNNNNNNNNNNNNNNNNNNNNNNNNNNNNNNNNNNNNNNNACACACAAACUUUCAGCUCACGAAAAGAAUUUUCAUUUUUUUCUAUUAAGGGAUUUUUAGUUGAUUCUUUUUUAUUCUAAUUUCUACACAAAUUCUUCAGACUGUCGUAAUUUCUCAGAAUUGUUUAAGUACUAGAAGUAUACGAAGUAUACAGAUUACUACAGACUGGUCUGCUGUUAACAGAUUCUGUUUUUUGUUGUGUUGGUUGCUUAUUUUGAUGAAACUAUGGAUAGUAUCGGGGGGUAUUAGCCAUGGAAUAUUGAAAAUACAGUAACCCAACAUCAACAUAAGUAGAAUUUAAGUUUGCUACACUAUCUAAGGAAGUGGUGGUUUGCUUUCUUAUACUAAUGUUAUCACGAGUUUCUAUUUAAGUUUUGUGUUGUGAAGUUUUCAAGUUUUGGGUGAAGUUCUUAUGGACAAAAGGUAAAGAGUGGCAAGAUCUCAAGCUUGGGGAUUCCCAAGGCACACAGGGGAUAGGUCAGAUNCGUAAGCUAGCUGGAUNNNNNNNNNNNNNNNNNNNNNNNNNNNNNNNNNNNNNNNNNNNNNNNNNNNNNNNNNNNNNNNNNNNNNNNNNNNNNNNNNNNNNNNNNNNNNNNNNNNNAAGAUAGUGCUUUWWUCUAUAGAUAUGAAAUUGUCCAUCUACAUCAUGUCAUCUUGCUUAAGGCGUUACUCUGUUCUCAUGAACUUAAUACACUAGAUGCAUGCUGGAUAGCGGUAGACGUGUGGAGUAAUAGUAGUAGAUGCAGAAAGUAUCGGUCUACUUGUUUUGGACGUGAUGCCUAUAGAUAUAAUCAUUGCCAUAGAUAACGUCACGACUUUGCGCUGUUCUAUCAAUUGCUCGACUGUAAUCCGUUCACCCACCGUCUACUUGCUUUCAUGAGAGAAUCCACUAGUGAACACUACGGCCCCCGGGUAUAUUCACACCUAUCGUUUCCACUUUCACUUUUACUUUGCUCUUGUUUACUCUUUGUUGUCUUUUAGUUCUCUACUUGGCAAACAAUCUAUAAGGGAUUGACAACCCCUUCAUAGCGUUGGGUGCAAGCUCUUUGUGUUUGUGCAGGUACUUGUGACAAUCCUUCACUGGAUCGAUACCUUGGUUCUCAAACNNNNNNNNNNNNNNNNNNNNNNNNNNNNNNNNNNNNNNNNNNNNNNNNNNNNNNNNNNNNNNNNNNNNNNNNNNNNNNNNNNNNNNNNNNNNNNNNNNNNAACGAUCUAGCUUGGCGUAUGACGUUGAAACAUACUCGCUAGCUAUCUUACGAUCAUGCAAUGGAAAUAAUGAGAGUGACGACACAAGUCAUGAGACGGAACGGUGGGAGUUGCAUGGCAAUAUAUCUCGGAAUGCCUAUGAAAAUGCCAUAGUAGGUAGGUAUGGUGGCUGUUUUGAGGAAGGUACAUGGUGGGUUUGUGUACCGGCGAAAGUUGCGCGGCACUAGAGAGGCUAGCAAUGGUGGAAGGUGAAAGUGCAUCUAUACCAUGGAUUGACAUUAGUCAUGAAGAACUCACAUACUUGUUGCGAAAGUUUUUAUUAGUAAUCGAAACAAAGUGCUAAACGCAUACUCCUAGGGGAAGGGUUGGUAGGUGUUAACCAUCAUGCGACCCCGACCGCAACACAAAGGAUGUCAAUCAAUAGAUCAAUUAUGCUCCGACUUCCUAACAUAGCGGUUCACCAUACGUGCAAGCUACGGGAAUCACUAACUUCAACACAAGUAUUCAGAUUCACAACACCCUACUAACAUAACUCUUAAUAUUAUCAAAUCCACGUCUCAAAACUAUUGAGNNNNNNNNNNNNNNNNNNNNNNNNNNNNNNNNNNNNNNNNNNNNNNNNNNNNNNNNNNNNNNNNNNNNNNNNNNNNNNNNNNNNNNNNNNNNNNNNNNNNAAUGGCACGAGGAAUCCUUGUGCUACGGCUACGCCUUUUAGGGACUUCCUUGGCAAAUAUGCAAAGGRWUYCCCCGUGGCCUUGGAGCCUUGMGUUGGUGUUCCCUYGAAGMGGAAAGGGUGAUGUAGCACAGCGGCGGUAAGUAUUUCCCUSAGUUUUGAGAACCAAGGUAUCGAUCYAGUGGGAGGAUCGCGUCAAGCCACAAGUACCUGCACAAACACAAAGAUCUUGCACCCAACGCUAUGAAGAGGUUGUCAAUCCCUUAUAGAUUGUUUGCAAAGUGAGAACUGAAAGCAAAAAGUAAACAAAGCAAACUAAAAGUGAAAGUGGAGACGAUAGUUGUGAAUAGACCCGGGGCCGUAGUGUUCACUAGUGGCUUCUCUCAUGAAAGCAAGUAGACGGUGGGUGAACGAAUUACUGUCGAGCAAUUGAAUAAACCGCGCAAAGUCGUGACGUUAUCUAUGGCAAUGAUUAUAUCUAUAGGCAUCACGUCCAAAACAAGUAGACCGAUACUUCUGCAUCUACUACUAUUACUNNNNNNNNNNNNNNNNNNNNNNNNNNNNNNNNNNNNNNNNNNNNNNNNNNNNNNNNNNNNNNNNNNNNNNNNNNNNNNNNNNNNNNNNNNNNNNNNNNNNGGAAUAAAAUCCCCGAAAUAAAUUUUUCCCGAACGGAAGAAGAUCAAGGGGCUUGAGGGCCAAGCCAGGAGAGCUACAGGGGGCCCACAAGCCCUGUAGCCGCUACCAGGGGCGGCGGCUAGCAGGCUUGUGGCCUCCCUGGCCGCCCCCCUGACCUAGCUCCUUCGCCUAUAUAUUCCCUAAAAUACAGAAAAAAAUCAAGGGAUCCACGAAAAUACUUUUCCGCUGCCGCAAGCUUCCGUUUCCGCAAGAUCUCAUCUAGAGACCCUUCUCGAUGCCCUGCUGGAGGGGACUUCGGAGUUGGAGGGUUUCUACAUCAACAUCAUCGCCCCUCCAAUGACUCGUGAGUAGUUCACUUCAGACCUACGGGUCMGUAGUUAGUAGCUAGAUGGCUUCWUCUCUCUCUUGGAUCUUCAAUAYRAAGUUCUCCAURAUSUUCWUGGAKAUCUAUCCGAUGUAAUCCCUUUUGGCGGUGUGUUUGUCGAGAUCCGAUGAAUUGUGGUAUUUGUGAUCAGAUUAUCUAUGAUAUAUAUUUGGAGUUCUUUGUUAGUAUUUCUUAUAUGCANNNNNNNNNNNNNNNNNNNNNNNNNNNNNNNNNNNNNNNNNNNNNNNNNNNNNNNNNNNNNNNNNNNNNNNNNNNNNNNNNNNNNNNNNNNNNNNNNNNNGGGGGAGGUGAUUGGGGUGAAUGGGUGGUUGGGGGGGGGGCAUCCUAAUCAUCUUAUCCAUGUCAGGACCCUACCGCCAGGGUCUACCACGGUAGGUGUAGAUACCCUACCGCUAGGCUGGUUGGCUUAGGUCCUUUCUCACGUCAACGACUAACUGCCAUCCGUCGUCCUCCGUCAAUCUAUCGUCACGGGCGCCGACGGUUGUGCCAGCCUACCGCAACGGCCUACAAUGGUAGGUGAAAGAGUCAAAUCCUGAUUAUUUUUUUCAAACUAGGGUCAAAUGUCGAUUUACCUCACAAAAAAGUUCAAAACACGAAAUUUAGCCAAGGAGAGGCAAGCUUCGUUUUUGGAUCCACCUUCGCCGCAGAACGCCAAACUUCCUGGACACCCAAAUUGUCACUAGGUCCAAGUCGUCACCUACAUUUUACACAUGUCCAACAAACCAUGUCAUCUCUAUCUCAAACAGAGCCAGAAAAAAGAGAGAAUUAAAUUUCAUGACAGCCUGACCGUGUCUUAAGUCCAGAAAACGACGUCAAAUCAUUCAAACAAAACGGACGCGUGGUAUGUGCUGUAGAGAUCUGAUCUAUCCAUCUAACCAAAAAGUGAGGCGUUGGUCCAUCCAACCGGGCCUGAAUCAGCUAUGUGGUCCACACCUGUCAUCCAUCUCAUGUUUGACCUAAAACAGCCCCCCCNNNNNNNNNNNNNNNNNNNNNNNNNNNNNNNNNNNNNNNNNNNNNNNNNNNNNNNNNNNNNNNNNNNNNNNNNNNNNNNNNNNNNNNNNNNNNNNNNNNNGCCAUACCUGACCGUGGUCACCGACAUCACUGCAAGGUAAACGACAUCAAGCCAGCCCAUGCUCUCCACCUUCCUGAGCACGGUGACCCCAACACCGACGCAGAUGGCCACCACACCAAGGGCGAGGGCGACCUUCAUGCGGACGCGCAUUCGGCCCUUCUUGAUGUCAAAGAUGUAGUUGUGCCUGUGCUUGCGUGCAGAGCGGGGGUUCUUGAUUGCGGUGAUGAGGAGGUGCUCCUGGAGGUCGAGCACAUAGGACACCAUGCCGGAGAGGAGGAUGUCGACGAAGCCGAAGCCGAUGAGGACGAAGGAUAUGGCGAAGAGCUUGGCGGCAGGGCUGGCCGGGGUGAUGUCCCCGUAGCCGAUUGUGCAGAGCGUGACGAUGCAGAAGUAGAGGGCGUCGACGACGGGGUGGGUGGGCCCGGCGGAGGAGGUGAAGUUGGCCGGGAAGGCGGCGUAGAAGGUGACGCCGAGGGCGAGGUAGGCGAGCAAGAAGAGGAAGGCGUGCAGCACGAUGGCCGGCCUCCGCGGCGGCGGUGGCGGGUUGUGGUGGUCGGCCUCGGCGGAGGCGGCGAGGACGGCGNNNNNNNNNNNNNNNNNNNNNNNNNNNNNNNNNNNNNNNNNNNNNNNNNNNNNNNNNNNNNNNNNNNNNNNNNNNNNNNNNNNNNNNNNNNNNNNNNNNNAAAGAAAAAGUGUAAGCCCGAAAAUAUGGUGUGGAGUAGACCCGGGGGCCAUAGUGUUCACUAGAGGCUUCUCUCAAAAUAGCAAAUAUUAUGGUGGGUGAACAAAUUACCGUCGAGCAAUUGAUGGAACCACGCAAAGUCAUGACGAUAUCUAAGGCAAUGAUCAUACAUAUAGGCAUCACGUCCGAGACAAGUAGACCGAUACUUUCUGCAUCUACUACUAUUACUCCACACAUCGACCGCUAUCCAGCAUNNNNNNNNNNACGAACAGAGUAACGUCUUAAGCAAGAUGACAUGAUGUAGAGGGAUAAUCUCAAACCAAUGAUGAAAACCCCAUCUUUUUACCCUUGAUGGUAACAACACGAUGCAUGCCUCGCUACCCCUUCUGUCACUGGUUGAGGUCACCGCACGGUAUGAACCCAAAACCAAGCACUUCUCCCAUUGCAAGAAUCAUAGAUCAAGAUGGCCAAACAAAACCCAUAACUCGAAGAGAAUUACAAGGAUAUGAAAUCAUGCAUAAGAGAGAUCAUAAGAAACUCAAAUAAGAUUCAUAGAUAAUCUGAUCAUAAAUCCACAAUNNNNNNNNNNNNNNNNNNNNNNNNNNNNNNNNNNNNNNNNNNNNNNNNNNNNNNNNNNNNNNNNNNNNNNNNNNNNNNNNNNNNNNNNNNNNNNNNNNNNGCACAAACACAAAGAGCUUGCACCCAACGCUAUGAAGGGGUUGUCAAUCCCUUAUAGAUUGUUUGCCAAGUGAGAACUAAAAGCAACAAAGAGUAAACAGAGCAAAGUAAAAGUGAAAGUGGAAACGAUAGGUGUGAAUAUACCCGGGGGCCGUAGUGUUCACUAGUGGAUUCUCUCAUGAAAGCAAGUAGACGGUGGGUGAACGGAUUACAGUCGAGCAAUUGAUAGAACAGCGCAAAGUCGUGACGUUAUCUAUGGCAAUGAUUAUAUCUAUAGGCAUCACGUCCAAAACAAGUAGACCGAUACUUUCUGCAUCUACUACUAUUNNNNNNNNNNUACCGCUAUCCAGCAUGCAUCUAGUGUAUUAAGUUCAUGAGAACAGAGUAACGCCUUAAGCAAGAUGACAUGAUGUAGAUGGACAAUUUCAUAUCUAUGAUAAAAGCACAUCUUGUUACCCUUGAUGGCAACAACAUGAUGCGUGCCUUGCUGCCCCUUCUGUCACUGGGAAAGGUCACCACACGGUAUGAACCCAAAACCAAGCACUUCNNNNNNNNNNUGAUAAAAUCCCAUCUUGUUACCGUUGAUGGCAACAACAUGAUGCGUGCCUUGCUGCCCCUUCUAUCACUGGGAAAGGUCACCACACGGUAUGAACCCAAAACCAAGCACUUCUCCCAUUGCAAGAAUCAUAGAUCUAGUUGGCCAAACAAAACCCAAGACUCAGAGAGACUUACAAGGAUAUCAAAUCAUGCAUAUAAGAAAUCAGCAAAGACUCAAAUAUAUAUCAUAGAUAAUCUGAUCACAAGUUCACAAUUUGUCGGAUCUCGACAAACACACCACCAAAGAAGAUUACAUCGGAUAGAUCUCCAUGAAGAUCAUGGAGAACUUUGUAUUGAAGAUCCAAGAGAGAGAAGAAGCCAUCUAGCUACUAACUACGGACCCGUAGGUCUGAAGUGAACUACUCACGAGUCAUUGGAGGGGCGAUGAUGAUGAUGAAGAAGCCCUCCACCUCCAAAGACCCCUCCGGCAGGGUGCCGGGAAGGGUCUCAAGAUGAGAUCUCGCGGAAACGGAAGCUUGCGGCGGCGGAAAAGUAUUUUCGAGGCUCCCCUGACUUUUUGCGGAAUAUUUGGGAAUAUAUAGGCGCAAGACCUAGGUCAUGGGGCUGCCAGGGAGGCCACAAGCUUGCCCACCGCCGCCUCCCCCUGGUGGCGGAGUGGGGGAUUGUGGGCUCCGUGGAGCCCACGUGGCUUGGCCCAAAAGCCCCCUGGACUUCUUCCGUUCGGGAAAAAAUCAUUUCGGGAUUUUUCUUCCAUUUGGACUCCGUUCCAAAAUCAGAUAUGAAAAGAGUCAAAAACACGGAAAAACAGGAACUGGCACUUGGCACUGGAUCAAUAAGUUAGUCCCAAAAAAUAUAUAAAAAGAUACAUAAAACAUACAAAGAAGGCAAGAUAACAGCGUGAAACCAUAAAAAAUUAUAGAUAUGUUUGAGACGUAUCAAGCAUCCCCCUAGCUUAACUCCUGCUCGUCCUCGAGUAGGGAAGUGAUAAAGAAUGAUUUUUUGAUGUUGCAUGCUACCUAUCAUAGUUGUCCUUUGUAACUUCUCUCACAUGACAUGAAUGUUCAGAUCCGUUAGAUUCAAAACAAUAGUUUGCUAUUACCGUGGAAACAAUAAUAAUUCAAGCAAACUAGCAAGGUAAUCAUGAACUUUCAAAAUAACAAGGCCAAAAGAAAGUUAUCCCUACAAAAGCAUAUAGUCUGGCUAUGCUCUAUCAUCAUUGCACAACGAAUUUAAAUCAUGCACAACCCCGGUAUUGGCCAAGUAAUUGUUUCACACCUUUACUUUCUCAAACCUUUUCAACUCUCAUGCAAUACAUGAGCGUGAGCCAUGGUUUUAGCACUAUAGAUGGUGUGGAGUGUGGUGGAGGUUGCAAGACAAAAAAGUAGAAGAUAGUCACAUUAACUAGGCAUAUCAAUGAGCUGUGGAGAUGCUCAUCAAUAGAUAUCAAUGUGAAUUAGUAGGGAUUGCCAUACAAAUGAUGCACCAGAGCUACAAGUAUGUGAAAGCUCUUAAAGAAAACUAGUGGGUGUGCAUCCAACUUGCUUGCUCACGAAGACCUAAGGCAAUUUUGAGGAAGCCUAUCAUUGGAAUAUACAAGCCAAGUUAUACAAUGAAAAUUUCCUACUAGCUAUAUGGUGGUGACAAAACGAGAGACUCUCAAUCAUGAAGAUCAUGGUGCUUAAUAUGCACAAGUGUGGAAAGAUAGUAGCAUUGUCCCUUCUCUCUUUUUCUCUCAUUUUUUUGGUGGGCUCUUUGGCCUCUUUUUUUUAUUUUUUUUAUUUUGGUGGGCAUCUUUGGCCUCUUUUUGUAAAUGGGCUUCGCUGGCCUAUUUUAUUUCCUCACAUGGGACAAUGCUCCAUCAAUGGUGAUCAUCACACUCUAAACUCAAAACUUAGAGCAACGAUGACUCUAUAUGGAAUGCAUUUGGUAGUGUACCGUGACAAUGAUCUAGCAUGGCAUAGACAUUAAUGGAAACAUCAUGCUAGUUAUCUUACGAUUAUGCAAUGGCAAUGUAGACGUGGUGGCACAUGUCAUGGUGGUAGUUGCNNNNNNNNNNUCACACCUUUACUUUCUCAAAACUUUUCAACUCUCACGCAAUACAUGAGCGUGAGCCAUGGUUUUAGCACUAUAAGUGGUGUGGAGUGUGGUGGAGAUUGCAAGACAAAAAAGGAGAAGAUGGUCACAUUAACUAGGCAUAUCAAUGAGCUGUGGAGAUGCUCAUCAAUAGAUAUCAAUGUGAAUGAGUAGGAAUUGCCAUACAAAUGAUGCACUAGAGCUAAGAGUAUGUGAAAGCUCUUAAAGAAAACUAGUGGGUGUGCAUCCAACUUGCUUGCUCACGAAGACCUAAGGCAAAUUUGAGGAAGCGUAUCAUUGGAAUAUACAAGCCAUGUUAUAUAAUGAAAAUUUCCCACUAGCUAUAUGGUGGUGAGAAAACGAGAGACUCCCAAUCAUGAAGAUCAUGGUGCUUAAUAAGCACAAGUGUGGAAGGAUAGUAGCAUUGUCCCUUCUCUCUUUUUAUAUCAUUUUUUGUUGGGCACUUUGGCCUCUCUUUUUUUGGUGGGAAUCUUUGGCCUCUUUUUGUAUAUGGGCUUCGCUGGUCUCUUUUAUUUCCUCACAUGGGACAAUGCUCCAUCAAUGAUGAUCAUCACACUUUCAACUCAAAACUUAGAACAAUGAUGACUCUAUAUGGAAUGCCUUCGGUAGUGUAUCAUGGCAUAGACAUUAAUGGAAACAUCAUGCUAGCUAUCUUACGAUCAUGCAAUGGCAAUGUAGACGUGGUGGCACAUGUCAUGGUGGUAGUUGCAUGGCAAUAUAUCUCGGAGUGACUUUGGAAAAGCCAUAGUAGGUAGGUAUGGUGGCUGUUUUGAGGGAGGCUAAUGGUGGGUUUUUGUGCACCGGCAAAAGUUGCACGGUACUAAGAAGAUAGUGAUGGUGGAAGGUGAAAGUGCAUCUAAAUCAUGGACUCAACAUUAGUCAUGAAGAACUCAUAUAUUUGUUGCAAAAGUUUUAGUAGUAAUCGAGACAAAGCAUUCAACGCAUACUCCUAGGGGAAGGGUUGGUAGGUAUAAACCAUCGCGCGAUCCCGACCGCCACACAAAGGAUGACAAUCAAUAGACUAAUCAUGCUCAGACUUCAUGACAUAGGGGUUCACCAUACGUGCAUGCUACGAGAAUCACUAACUUCAACACAAGUAUUUCUAGAUCCACAACACCUUACUAGCAUAACUUCAAUAUUACCACAACCACAACUCAAAACUAAUUGAGAUGAAUCAAACUUCUCUAACUAUUCAAUGCACAUGAAGGUGGAAGUUUUCAUAUCCCUUUGGAUAACUACUCCUUUUGAGACUACUUUCAUAGCAUAGAUCAACUACCAAGCCACGCACCGCCGUGAUCUAAAAGAUAUAAGUGAAGCACAUAGAGCAAAAUCAACUAGCUCAAAAGAUAUAAGUGAAGCACAUAUGAGCUGAAUUGUCUACCAAAGGAUAUAAGUGAAGCUCGACAAAAUCACGGUGAGUGCAUGUCUCUCUAUCUAGGUGCGCAGCAAGGAUGAUUGUGACACAAAAAAAAUAAAAGACUCCUACGAUACAAGACGCUCCAAGCAAAAACACAUAACAUGUGGUGACUAAAAAUAUAGCCCCAAGUAACGUUACCGAUGGAUUGAAGACGAAAGAGGGGAUGCCUUCCCGGGGCAUCCCCAAGCUUAGGCUUUUACGGCAUCCUUGAAUCAUAUUGGGGUGCCUUGGGAAUCCCCAAGCUUGAGAUCUUGCCACUCUUUACCUUUUUGUCCAUAAGAACUUCACCCAAAACUUGAAAACUUCACAACACAAAACUUAAAUAGAAACUCGUGAUAACAUUAGUAUAAGAAAGCAAACCACCACUUCCUUAGAUAGUGUAGCAAACUUAAAUUCUACUUAUGUUGAUGUUGGGUUACUGUAUUUUCAAUAUUCCAUGGCUAAUACCCCCCGAUACUAUCCAUAGUUUCAUCAAAAUAAGCAACCAACACAACAAAAAACAGAAUCUGUUAACAGCAGACCAGUCUGUAGCAAUCUGUAUGUUUCGUAUAGCUCUGGUACUGAAAAAUGCUGAAACAUUACGACAGUCUGAAUAAUUUGCGUAGCAAUCAACAACAAAAAGAAUCAACUUAAAAGCUCUUACAGAAAAAAUGAAAAUUCUUUUCGUGAGCAGAAAGUUUCUGUCUUUCCCAGCAUGACCAAACGAUCAUCCUCAAGACUAAUCAUAACGGUUUUUCUUGGCACAAACACAAAAAGAAACACAAAAAACACAAUCAUAACAGAAUUAUGAAAGUGUGGAAAACACAAAACAGAAAUAAAAAGGAUAGAUUCGUUUGGUUGCCUCUCAACAAGCGCUUUUGUUUAACGCCCUUAGCUAGGCGAAAGUGAUGGAAUCACGUAUAGUCAUCUUUGGUGCUCAAACCAUAGAUAUCCCUCAUCCAAGAUUCAUAAGGCAAUCUUAUUUUAUUUCUAGGAAAGUGCUCCAUGCCCUUCUUUAAGGGAAAUUGAAAUCUAAUAUUCCCUUCCUUCAUAUCGAUGAUAGCACCAAUAGUCCUUAGGAAAGGUCUACCAAGAAUAAUGGGACAUGAAGGAUUGCAAUCUAUGUCAAUUACAAUGAAAUCCACGGGUACAUAGUUCUUAUUUGCAACAAUAAGAACAUCAUCGAUCCUCCCCAUGGGCUUCUUGAUGGUAGAAUCCGCAAGAUGCAAAUUAAGAGAGCACUCUUCAAUCUCAUGAAAACCAAGAAUAUCACAUAAAGACUUUAGAAUCACGAAAACACUAGCACCCAAAUCACACAAAGCAUUGCACUCAUAGUUUUUGAUCUUGAUUUUGAUANNNNNNNNNNCCAUCAUGAAGUUUCCUAGGUAUAGAGACUUCUAGUUCGAGCUUCUCUUCAAGAGAUUUCAUCAUAGCAUCUACGAUAUGCGCGGUAAAGGCUUUGCUUUGGCUAUAAGCAUGUGGAGAGUUUGCAAUGGAUUGCAUCAAAGAAAUGCAUUCAAACAAGGAGCAAUUAUCAUAAUUGAAUUCCUUGAAAUCCAAAGUCAGAGUUUCAUUACUACCCAAAAUUUUGACUUCUUCUACUCCACUCUCCACAUAUUUAUCAUCAAGAUAGGUGGACUCUGAAUCAUUGGGGCAUUUUUCAACCAAAGUGGAUUCAUAUCCAGCCCCUCCAUAAGUAGGUUUGACACGCGAAAACAAAGAUUCAAGAGGAGACACACCAAGCACUUUAAGAUCUUCGUGAUUUGCAUCACUAGAACGCACCCUUUUAAACCAUUCAUGUCUAGCGCGAAUUUGGGCGGUUCUUUCUUUGCUCUCAUUCAUGGAGAUACGCAUAGCUUUCAAAGUUUCAUCCAAGUUUAUCUUGGCAGGAGCGCAUCUAACUUUCAAUGCAUCAAUAUCACAAGACAUCCUAUCAACGCUCUUAGCCAAAUCGUCUAUUUUGAGUAGUUUUUCCCCUAUGGACGCAUUGAAAAUCUUUUGAGAGUUGAUGAACUCUUUGAUAUUACUCUCUAAAUCAGAGGGUAAUUUGUUAUGAUUUCCAUAAGUGUUGCCGUAGGAAUUGCCAUAAUUGUUAGAGGAUUUACUAGGAAAAGGCCUAGGAACAUAGUUUCCUCUAAAAGCAUUGUUGUUGCCAAAAUUGUUCCUACCAACAAAAUUCACGUCCAAACUAGCGUUUCUACUCUCAAUCAAAGAAGAUAGUGGCAUGUCAUUAGGAUCUAUGGUAGCAUUUCUACUAGCAACCAAAUUCAUCAACUCGUCCAUCUUAGCACUAAGCGAGUUAAUCUCUUCUAUAGCGUGCACCUUUUUGCUAGCAUGCGACCGUGCUGUGUGCCACUGAGAGUAGUUGGUCAUGAUAUUGUCUAGGAGUUUUGUAGCGUCUCCUAACGUGAUUUCCAUGAACGUUCCACCUGAGGCGGAGUCCAAGACAUUGCAAAAAGCGAAAUUCAAGCCAACGUAAAAGAUUUGUAUAAUCAUCCACAAACUCAAGCCAUGAGCGGGGCGAUUUCUAAUNNNNNNNNNNNNNNNNNNNNNNNNNNNNNNNNNNNNNNNNNNNNNNNNNNNNNNNNNNNNNNNNNNNNNNNNNNNNNNNNNNNNNNNNNNNNNNNNNNNNCGGAGGGGGAAAUCAUCGCCAUCGUCAUCACCAACACUCCUCUCAUCAGAGGGUACUCGUCACCAUCAACAUCUUCAUCAGCACAAUCUCAUCUCCAAACCCUAGUUCAUCUCUUGUAACCAAUCUCCGUCUCGCGACUCCGGUUGAUACUUUUAAGGUUGGUAGUAGUGUUAAUUACUCUUUGUAGUUGAUGCUAGUUGGAUUACUUGGUGGAAGAUUAUAUGUUCAGAUCUUUGAUGCUACUCAUUACCUCUCUGGUCAUGAUUAUGAUUAUUCUUUGUGAGUAGUUACUUUUGUUCCCGAGGACAUGGGAUAAAUCUUGCUAUAAGUAGUCAUGUGAAUUUGGUAUUCGUUCGAUAAUUUGAUGUGUUGUAUGUUGUUUUUCCUCUAGUGGUGUUAUGUGAACGUCGACUACAUAACACUUCACCAUUAUUUGGGCCUAGAGGAAGGCAUUGGGAAGUAGUAAGUAGAUGAUGGGUUGCUAGAGUGAGAGAAGCUUAAACCCUAGUUUAUGCGUUGCUUCGCAAGGGGCUGAUUUGGAUCCACUAGUUUAAUGCUAUGGUUAGACUUUGUCUUAAUUCUUCUUUCGUAGUCGCGGAUGCUUGCGAGAGGGGUUAAUCAUAANNNNNNNNNNNNNNNNNNNNNNNNNNNNNNNNNNNNNNNNNNNNNNNNNNNNNNNNNNNNNNNNNNNNNNNNNNNNNNNNNNNNNNNNNNNNNNNNNNNNUAGAUGCAGAAAGUAUCGGUCUACUUGUUUUGGACGUGAUGCCUAUAGAUAUAAUCAUUGCCAUAGAUAACGUCACGACUUUGCGCUGUUCUAUCAAUUGCUCGACUGUAAUCCGUUCACCCACCGUCUACUUGCUUUCAUGAGAGAAUCCACUAGUGAACACUACGGCCCCCGGGUAUAUUCACACCUAUCGUUUCCACUUUCACUUUUACUUUGCUCUGUUUACUCUUUGUUGCUUUUAGUUCUCACUUGGCAAACAAUCUAUAAGGGAUUGACAACCCCUUCAUAGCGUUGGGUGCAAGCCUUUUGUGUUUGUGCAGGAUCUUGAGAUACUCUUCCGACGGAUUGAUACCUUGGUUCUCAAACUGAGGGAAAUACUUACUGCCGCUGUGCUACAUCACCCUUUCCGCUUCGAGGGAACACCAACGCAAGGCUCCAAGGCCACGGGGGAAUCCUUUGCAUAUUUGCCAAGGAAGUCCCUAAAGGCGUAGCCGUAGCACAAGGAUUCCUCGUGCCAUUGCUGAGGAGUAUCAAGACAAGAAUAGUCUCACGUCAGCACGCUUGUUUCUGGCGCCGUUGGAAGGUCUUUUGUUGCAGUAGCAAUAGGUACCCAAAGAGGAUACAAAAAAACCUCCAUCUUCAUGUGCAUUGAGUAGAAAGAGAAGUCUUGAUUCCUCUCAAUUAGUUUUGAGACGUGGAUUUGAUAAUAUUAAGAGUUAUGUUAGUAGGGUGUUGUGAAUCUAGAAAUACUUGUGUUGAAGUUAGUGAUUCCCGUAGCUUGCACGUAUGGUGAACCGCUAUGUUAGGAAGUCGGAGCAUAAUUGAUCUAUUGAUUGACAUCCUUUGUGUUGCGGUCGGGGUCGCAUGAUGGUUAACACCUACCAACCCUUCCCCUAGGAGUAUGCGUUUAGCACUUUGUUUCGAUUACUAAUAAAAACUUUCGCAACAAGUAUGUGAGUUCUUCAUGACUAAUGUCAAUCCAUGGUAUAGAUGCACUUUCACCUUCCACCAUUGCUAGCCUCUCUAGUGCCGCGCAACUUUCGCCGGUACACAAACCCACCAUGUACCUUCCUCAAAACAGCCACCAUACCUACCUACUAUGGCAUUUUCAUAGGCAUUCCGAGAUAUAUUGCCAUGCAACUCCCACCGUUCCGUCUCAUGACUUGUGUCGUCACUCUCAUAUUUCCAUUGCAUGAUCGUAAGAUAGCUAGCGAGAUGUUUCAACGUCAUACGCCAAGCUAGAUCGUUGCACAUCCCGGUACACUGUCGGAGGCAUUUCCUAUAGAGUCAUGAUCAUUCUAAGCUUUGAGCUGUGAGUAAAUAAAAGUGUGAUGAUCAUCAUUAUUAGAGCAUUUUCCCAUGUGAGGAAAUAAAAAAAAGAGGCCAAAGAGCCCAAAAAAAAAGAAGAGGCCAAAGAGCCCAAAUAAAAAAGAGAGAAGGGACAAUGCUACUAUCUUUUUCCACACUUGUGCUUCAUAAUAGCACCAUGUUCUUCAUGAUUGAGACUCUCGUUUCGUCACCACCAUAUGCUAGCGAGAAUCUUUAUUAUAUAACUUGGCUUGUAUAUUCCAAUGAUGGGCUUCCUCAAAAUUGCCCUAGGUCUUCGUGAGCAAGCAAGUCGGAUGCACACCCACUAGUUCUCGUUUUGAGCUUUCACAUACUUAUAGCUCCAGUGCAUCCUUUGUAUGGCAAUCCCUACUCAUUCACAUUGAUAUCUAUUAAUGGGCAUCUCCAUAACCCUUUGAUACGCCGAGUCAAUGCGACCAUCUCCUCCUUUUUGUCUCACAACCACCACCACACACUAUUCCACCUAUAGUGCUAUAUCCAUGGCUCACGCUCAUGUAUUGCGUGAUAGUUAUAAAAAGUUUGAGAAAGUAAGAGUGCGAAAACAAUUACUUGGCCAAUACCAGGGUUGUCCAUGAUUUACAUUAGUUGUGUGAGGAUGAUCGAGCGUAGCCAGACUAUAUGAUUUUGUAGGGAUAACAUUCUUUGGCCUUGUUAUUUCGAAAGUUCAUGAAUGCCUUGCUAGUUUGCUUGAAGUAUUAUUGUUUCCAUGUCAAUAGCAAACUAUUGUUUUGAAUCUUACGGAUAUGAACAUUCAUGUCACAUGAAAGAAGUUACAAAGGACAACUAUGCUAGGUAGCAUUCCACAUCAAAAAUUCAGUCUUUAUCACUUUCCUAAUCGAGGACGAGCAGGAGUUAAGGUUGGGGAUGCUUGAUACGUCUCCAAUGUAUCUAUAAUUUUUGAUGGUUUCAUGCUAUUAUCUUGUCAAACUUUGGAUGUUUUGUAUUCCUUUUAUAUCUUUUUUUGGUACUAACUUAUUAACUCAGUGCCAAGUGCCAGUUCCUGUUUUUCCGUGUUUUUGACCCUUUUUAGAGGAGGAUUUUAUACGGAGUCCAAACGAAACGAAACUUCCAAAAAGAUUUUUUUCCGAAACAGAAGAAGAUCGGGGAACCUGAGAAUCAGGGCAGGGGGCCACCGGGGACCCCACAAGCCCCUAGCCGCAGCGAGGGGGGCCCGCGCCUCCCAGGCUUGUGGCCUCCCUGGGCCACCUCUGCCCUAGGUCUUUCGCUUAUAUAUUCCCUAAAAUCCUAGAAAAAAUUAGGAGAUCAUCGAAAGUACUUUUCCGCCGCCGCAAGCUUCUGUCUCCGCAAGAUCCCAUCUGGGGCACGUUCUGGUGCCCUGCCGAAGGGGGGAUUCGGAUACGGAGGGCUUCUUCAUCAACACCAUGACCUCUCUGAUGAUGCGUGAGUAGUUCACCAUAUACCUACGGGUCCAUAGCUAGUAGCUAGAUGGCUUCUUCUCUCUCUUGGAUCUUCAAUACAAAGUUCUCCAUGAUCUUCAUGGAGAUCUAUCCGAUGUAAUCUUCUUUGGUGGUGUGUUUGUCGAGAUCCGACAAAUUGUGAACUUGUGAUCAGAUUAUCUAUGAUAUAUAUUUGAGUCUUUGCUGAUUUCUUAUAUGCAUGAUUUGAUAUCCUUGUAAGUCUCUCUGAGUCUUGGGUUUUGUUGAUCUCUCUAAUGCAUGAUUUCAUAUCCUUGUAAUUCUCUUCAAGUUGUGGGUUUUGUUUGGCCAGCUUGAUCUAUCAUUCUUGCAAUGGGAGAAGUGCUUGAUUUUGGGUUCAUACCGUGCGGUGACCUCACCCAGUGACACAAGGGGUAGCGAGGCAUGCAUCGUGUUGUUGCCAUCAAGGGUAAAAAGAUGGGGUUUUCAUCAUUGGUUUGACUUUAUCCCUCUACAUCAUGUCAUCUUGCAUAAGGCGUUACUCUGUUCGCCAUGAACUCAAUACACUAGAUGCAUGCUGGAUAGCGGUCGAUGUGUGGAGUAAUAGUAGUAGAUGCAGAAAGUAUCGGUCUACUUGUUUUGGACGUGAUCCCUAUAGAUAUAAUCAUUGCCAUAGUUAACGUCAUGACUUUGCGCGGUUCUAUCAAUUGCUCGACAGUAAUUCGUUCACCCACCGUCUACUUGAUUUCAUNNNNNNNNNNNNNNNNNNNNNNNNNNNNNNNNNNNNNNNNNNNNNNNNNNNNNNNNNNNNNNNNNNNNNNNNNNNNNNNNNNNNNNNNNNNNNNNNNNNNGCGAAUCUCGUGGAAUUCUCUCUCCACUGCUCGCCGGAAGCCACGAAAUCGCCAACCCACGAAUCUUCCCUCACAACCAGUCCACACCGCCGCGCCAAGUUCCGAUCUUGCCGCCCGAGCUGCACUCCGGCCGUCCCCAGUCCCCCCGUUCGAGCCUCCCGCCGCGAAUUCCGCCGGCUCGUCGACCCUGGCAGGUGAGAAAUCCUCGAAUUUCUUCUUCAAUUCGUUUUGGCCGCGGGGAGGAUUCACGGAUUUUACCUGCCUCGUUUCCCCCCUCUUGCUUGACCCAAGUAGUAGUUUCCAUGGGUGGUCGGAGAAGAGCCCUCACGAGGCUGACCACGGUGGGCCCGCCUCCUCUGGGGGGUGGCUGGCAUAUGGUUUUCCAUCAGGUUCUUGGGGCAUCGUAGCCCCUGACGACAACCUGCUAUGUUUGGCAAUCAGCAGCUGUUAGUUAUGUUGGGGGUUGCUCAUCUUCUUGCCCUGAUAAAAGUGUGAGCUUCCAUGGAAUACAUAUUUUGUCUCGCUGGCCAGUUGUUUCUAAUGAGAGAAUAAGAGGUCGGGAUCACAAACAACCAUCGCCAGGGCUGUAUUUUGGAUGAGGUGGCAAACUCCUCUACAUAGGAGGAGUUGAGAACACAGAAACUCCUGGAGCUAUCGUUUUUCUGUAUUAGCAUUAGUAGGAUGAAUUGGCGUUUCUUUCGCAAAAAGAACGAUGAAUUGGCGUUGAGAAAUAAAAACUUUUGUUGGAACGUUGGCUAGAGGUUUCUUUGAAAAUAUCAGCCCCUUUGGUCCAUAACGGGGGGAGGUACUCAAUUCUAUUAGAUUAUUCACAAUUGAUGGCCGUCUGGAUGACUAGAAUGGCUCAUUUUGAGCCACCACCUCACCUAUUUGUAUCCGUGCUGUUUUGUCUUGCUUAGUGGCCAUGAAAUUGACCUACCUGAGCUGAUCCAGGGCCGCAAGCAUGAGCACGCGAUGGUGCGCGGUCCCAGCUGUGGGUACAAGUAUUCCAAUAUCAGUUUGUGUUGCCUCUGUGACUCGCAUGAUUUCAUUGACCUGCCUUGUAAAUAGAACGACCAGUGGAAUGAUGGGAUAAAGGCAUUAGCGCCGAUGAAAACAGAAAAUGGCUGUUCACUCUAGCAUUCUUGGUAGAAUAUGAGAAUUUGAGUUUGUUGCUAUGGGCAAAUGGCAUCUUUGUGGUCUGUUAGCGCUCUCAACUCUUAUCUACUAAAUUGAAUUAAACACUCUCCGUUGUCUUAAAUUCAAUGUGUGGUCAGUCUUCCUUGAAAUACCCGGGUUCUGUUUGAAAAAUUGCCAUACCAUAUCUUACUGUUUUUGUCUGUCAUACAUGUUGCAAGCUGGCGGUCUUUCUCAGUAGAUAGGGAGUGAAAUAUGUCAUGGCACCUUCAUAUUAAGUAGUUAUAUUUUGUACUUUCAUCAAUGCAAAUUGUUGGUGAUGCAAGUCAGACUCCCCCUUCUAUUAAAAUAGCAUGGUUCUCUAAGGAAAUAAAAUAGCUUCUUCUAUUUGGCUCCUUAUAUCAUUUUUUCCCUAGAUGAUGAACAGUAUACCCACCAGCACUAGAGUCUAAUCGUAGCAACUCAGUCGCUCACCUGCAGCAAAUGGAAUCAGGUGAAAACAACAUGGGCUCGAAUGAUGGACCAAACAGCAAAGCUAGCUUGGCUGCGAGGCAACGCUUACGGUGGACAGAUGAGUUGCAUGAACAAUUUGUGGAGGCUGUUACUCAACUUGGCGGUCCUGAUAGUACGUAUCCACACUGCAACCGUGCUUCAUUUCUUACUUUAUAUGAUACUGUUUCUUCUUACUGCCUAUAAUCAGUUUAUGGGACUAGAUAGUAUAGUUUAUUUGAAAUCUAAAGGUGAUAUAGUUUUACAUUAAUUCUUUUAUAUUACUCCCUCUGUCCCAAAAUAAGUGACUUGACUUUGUACUAACUUUGUGCUAAAGUUAGUAUAAAGUUGAGUCAGUUAUUUUGGGACGGAGGGAGUACAUGACAUUGUUAUCUCUAGUGAAGUUUUUUUAGCAUAGUUUGGAAGUACCAGACGUUCUUCAAAGUGAUAGUAGCAUGUAAAUAUGAUGGCCAACUCAUAACAUUGUUUCUAAGUAGGAAGCUUAUAUAUGGUUUUCAGCUGUCACGUUAGCUCAGAACAACACCAUAUAAGCUUGUAAUAAGCAUGGUUUGGAGUUUAAGGUGUUACAUUAACUUUUAUUCUCAAGUAAAAGAGAUGACAUGUAUAAGCAACCAUGCAUUUAUAUGAAAAUGUACCAAGCAAGAAGCCCUUUUAAGUGAGAGAAUCGUAGCUUAAAUCACUUGGGUGAGGAUCUCAUCCAUCUAAGCAAUUAAUAACUUACUUUUAUCAGUAUUUUUAUGUUAUUAUAAAAGUGAAAGGUAUGAAUGUUAUGACUUAUGUUGUAUUUAUCUGUCAGUUAUGUUCAUUUGUACCUUUAUGUGCUACAGUAAUCACAUAGGCUUAUUAUGCUUCUGCUAACACUUCUUUUUUGAACUUCGCUUCUGCUGACACUUGAAUUCCUCAAAUGCAAUAGGAGCAACUCCUAAAGGAGUUUUGAGAAUUAUGGGUACGCCAGGAUUAACAAUAUACCAUGUGAAAAGUCACUUGCAGGUACAUCUUGUUUAACAGUGCCACUUGGCCUUUAGCAAUAUUUGUCACUCUUAAUUUCUGAUAUUGAAUUCCCCCAUUACUGUUUCCAGAAAUACAGGCUAGCAAAGUACAUUCCCGACUCUUCAGCUGAUGGUAGGUGAACACACUUCUCAUAUACUUGGUAUUGUGAUAUUUGUUUCAGUUCUUCCCUAAUAUGUAUCUCUUGUGCAGGUAACAAGGCUGAUAACAAAGAUCCAGGGGAUUCAUUAGCAGGACUUGAUGGAUCCUCGUAUGUAUACACAUAUGACCAGUUAUAAUCUCCAUUAAACAGUAACUUGUGUAAACUGUGACUGGCAUGGCAUGAGAUGCAAGUACUGCAAUCUAUGCCGUAUUCUACAAUGCACUAAGAAAAUCAUCUAUCAUAGUCAACUCUCUUAUUUUACUACCCUUGAGGUUUGCAUGCUGCUCGACAAACACAUGCUAACUGUGGUUCCUCAGUAAUUAGAAACAUAAAAUUUUUAGGGUGCAACCAUAAUCUAACUGAAAUCUCUCUUAUUUUACUACUCUUGAGUCUUGAGGUUUGCAUGCUGCUCGACAAACACAUGCUAACUGUGGUUCCUCAGUAAGUAGAAACAUAGUUUUUUUAGGGUGCUAGCAUAAUCUAACUGAAAUCUCUCUUAUUAUACUGAUGAGUAAUUUCUAUAAUAUGAAAUUGUUCAAUUUAUUUUAUUCCGUUCAUCAAUUUUUGGCCUUGAAUAUCCUCAAGUACACAGAUGCUACGCAGCAACGAAAGCAUGUUCAUAUCCAUAUGUUUUUUUAUCUUCCUUCAAUUGAAAGAUGUAAUUUCGUUGCUUUUUGUUGGUUUAUCCAUGCUAUCCUAUCAGUAAGGGGCAAGUCUUCCGCGACGUAUAGCGACCUUUUUCUUGGAGACUUCAAUUUCACUUUUGGAAGUAGUGUCUUUCAGUUGAUGCUGCUCCCCUGUUUUCCUCAGUUUUUCCUAGGGGUGUUUGAUCGUCGAGCCUUUUUCUUUACAGUGGAAUGCAGAUAUCUGAAGCCCUGAAGCUGCAGAUGGAGGUCCAAAAGCGGUUGCAUGAACAGCUCGAAGUAAGUCUUUUGUUUUGCGGUCCAAAAGCAGUCCAAAAGCGAAUGCUUGUAAAAUACUUUAUCUGCUGUGGUGAAUUAAGAAACGUUGUGAUUUUUCCAUUCGAAAAAACAGAGAAAAUUCUUAGUCGGCUUGAGGCAAAACCCAGGCCGUUCUUAAUAUCGCUGACUUCCAUGCUUCUUGUAGUAAUGGCUGCGAAGUCUGUGUUUGAGUCAUUGUUUGCGUUUCAGUUUGUAAUCUCAUUCAUAUUUCCAAACUUGCAAAUCAAGUAAAUAGUUAGGUUUAAUUGACCAGAUGCAUUAGUUGCAUGCUUGCAUAGCGGUAAAUUCAUCAACAACCGACAGUUAUAUUAAGUAGAGAUCAAUGAUAAGAUGUGCUGAUAACACUUUCUUCAGGUACAAAGGCAGCUGCAGCUGCGAAUCGAGGCACAGGGAAAGUACCUUAAGAAAAUCAUAGAAGAGCAACAGCGUUUCGGUGGUAUAAAGUCUGAAACACCUGGUGCAGGAGCUACUGUCACAGCGUCGAGCGAUCAGUUCCCUGACUCUGAGAGGACAGAUCCCUCGACUCCUGCACCCACAUCUGAAUCUGCAUCUCAGGGUGCAGCUUUCAAAAGAGACAGUGGAAGCCAGACCGAAGCAAUCAAGAGUCCAUGUCACGAUGAACCGCUGCUAACAGCAGAUUCCAACUGUCAUCCCGGUUCUCCUACUCUCAGUCCGAAGCACGAGAGGGCAGCAAAGAGGCAGCGAAGCAGCGACGCCGAGUUCCCGGAGGCCGAGUUGUCCCUUCCGCAGCAUAUCUUUGAGUCGAGCUCGGGGCCGGAGUUCCAGCAAUGUUCGGUGCCCUACUUCUCGGGUCAUUAGCCUCCCGGCAACGACAUUUUGGCAGCAUCUUAGAAUGGUGUCAUCUAAAGGGGAUAUGCUGUUGUAUGUUGACAUAAAUUGUUAGGUGUUUUCAGGUGGUUGUUUACAUGAUGCAUACUUACACAUGACAUCUAUAUCUCGCAUUCUUAGCGCCUUGACUUGUAACCUUAUUGGCAGAUGAGUUGACAGUUUGGGUAGGGGGGUUGGUGGCCACUGUUAGCCUGUUUUUACAUGCUAUGUUUUCUACUCUUGUUCUUGAGUCUUGACACCAAGUUUAUCUUGCUAUGCUAUUUGUUAUGAGGGUGAUUGAUGAUCAGAAACAACACAACUACCAGUGUUUUCAUGCCAAUUCCCCUUUUUUAAAGUGUGUACUUCGUACAAAAUAUAAUCAUAAAAGUAUACCACCAAAAGUCUAGACAACAUCACAAGUCAACAUCUACAAACUUCUAUGAAAGAGCAUCUAUAAACUUGAAACUACUCGUAUGCUCUCUCCAUUUGGACAUAUGUAUCUCAAGGUUUACUUUGGCCAUCAAUAGAAGUAUGGAAACGAUAAAAUCAGAACGUUCGGAUUUUAAGCAUGUCAAUCUAAACGUUUUCCAUACCAACUUUAGUUCUUGCAAGGUUGGCAAAAAUGACAAAUUUCUGACAAAAGAACAAACUGGGAAAAAUUCGUCAUAUUUAAACAACUAAAGUGGACACCUCGCGACAACUAAAAUGAUCAUGAAAAAACGUUUGAGAUAACAUACUUAAAAUCCGAACGUUUGAGAUUUAUCGGGCCCCGAAAGUAAAUACUACAUGAGAUAUUUGCACAAAAGCUACCCCCUUAGUCUGUAAUUAACUGUUGUUGAAAUGAGUGCAUCUGUACGCUGAAAUGCGUAUUGUCAUAAAAAUGAGUGUAUCUACACACUGAAAUGCGUAUUUUCAUAAAAAUGAGUGUAUCUACACACUAGAUACACUCAUUUCAGUGACGGUUAAUUCUAGAUGGAGAUUGUAUGUCAUUAGAAACUAUUUUGUACAUAUGAAUUCAACGAUAUUUUUUGUGGCAUCUGUUAAUUUGAUGAUACAAUUCAAGCUGCUCUUCUGCCUGGCAUUAUUGUGCCUCUUGAUUCAUCUUUUUUUCCGGAGUGAUGGCGAAUAUUAGUGUUUUGACCUUGUUAGAGCAUUUACAUCCAGACUUGUCAAAUAUGACCCCUUAAGGCUCACGGACGCACUCGGUCAGUGAUUGGACGUGUCCGUUUUAAGCCUUUUUUUUUGUUCACACAGCCGUACUUCUUAUUUUUUUUAUAUGUCUAGUCACUUACACAUGAUUGGUGAAGAAAAAAAGAAAGAAAUAAAAGAUUGAAUAAAGAAAAAAAGGUGGUAUGGGAUGGGGUUGCGUCGUACUUGACGGACUGACCAGACCUGUCCGGACGCGUCCGCAAGCCCUCGUAUCGUCUCCAAAUUUGAGAGGGAUUUGAGGGAUGCCGGUCAGUCCGGGUGUUUAGGAGGAAAAGUGAGGGGUUCGUUUGAAUCAUUUUUUUUAAUCGGACACUGAUUAGGAAGGCAUUUCGAACGUUCGAGGAGGAUACAUAGGGUCCUGCUAUAGAUACUCUUGGAAGACUUUAGUACAAUCUGAAUCCUUUCAGCACGAUGUGAUUGUUUUGGACGCCAAGCAUUGUGGCAUUUCUUCCCAACAUAGUCAUCCAAACUUUUACCAUAAUUUCUUCCUUGAAUACAUAAGUGGCCGCGGGGCAGGGUUUUCAGGAACGCCACAAGCCCUAGCUUUUCUUCUCGGCGCAGAAACGACAGGGCUUGCGGAGUUACCAGCAACGCCCCUAAUUUGGUGUUUCUGCUCUGUAGGAUGUCAACACCUACUCGGCCAGGCUCGUACUAUUUUUUUUCUUACGAAAAGCCACACUACGGAGCAGCGUCGCAUCUGGGGCUUCCGGUGCGGCGGCCCAGCUAAUGGAACAUUAGUACGCAUGCAAAAUUAGUACUCCCUAGAUGCAUACUCAUUACUUUAAACAGCUUGGACAUGCAUCGGCAAAUUCCUCUUUCUUUAUUAUGCAUGCAUGCAAUGACGUCAUCAAGAUUUCCUUCGAUGUUUGAAAUUCAAAAAGUUUUAUCUACAAAACCGUUAAUUCAAUUAAUGAUCCGCUUUCACCACUGACUUUUUCGCGCGAGAUCUUCAAAACUAGCUCCCAUGUCGAUAUGUUUCGAUAACUUUCGUUUUCUUCCUUACUUGCCAGAUUACUAUCACUUACUUGUCAUAUUAUUUGUUACAUAGUUCUCACAUUAAAUCAACUUGGUUAUCAGGUUUAUGAAUGUUGAUAUACCCCAUUAAAAAACUUGAUUCAUUAUACUUGUGCUGCUUUAUGCAUUUAUUUGUUUGUUAUUAGUAUUUUAAUACCCACUUUUUAGCUUCACAUAACAUUGCAAUGCUUAAAAAGUAUAAAAAUAUUGUCCUGAUAACUAUGUAUAACUAUUGUGACAACUAUACAUCCGUAAGAUGACAUAAAUGUGGCAACUAGAAACGACGAAAAAAAUCAACGAAACAUGUCAAUAUGGGAUCUUAUUUUGAAGGUCUCAUCGAGACGAACCUAACGGUGAAAGCGAAUCUGAAAUAAAAUUAUUAAUUUAUGAGAUAAAUCAUUUUUAAAAUUUGAAAAAGCAUUUAAUGCAAUGAUGUAAGCAUGAGGUGAAAGAUUUUUACAUGCGCAUGGGGCUGCGGAAGCCGCUGCAUGAAAGAGUUGUGAUGCGGCGCUUCUCUUUAUAAUUUUUCAAGAAAGAAUCCCUUGUUUCAUGGUUGGCUCGACUAGGGCGAAAUUAUGUCUACAUAAUUAUAGUUGAAAAAAAUUAGUUUUCUUCGGCUAUAAUUAUUUAAGUAGAGGGGGGUAUAAGGGAGCGAAAUAUUCGGGGGUGUUUUGGCGCGAACUAAUCGAAGCACAUGGGAACGAUAUGGGCGGGAAAGCAGCCCGCCAACAUCCAUCAGAAACCCUCGGCUAGCGAUCUCCCUCCUCCCCUCUGUCUCCGCAUCCGAUCCGAGGCGAGGCGGCGAUGCAGAUCCAGGUCCGGUGCGGGUGCGGCGAGGCGGCGUGCCCGGAGUGGGCGGUGGUGGAGGUGCAGGGCGUGCUGCAGCCGCAGCCCUGCUUCUCCGGCCGCAUCCAGGGCCUCCACAUCGGCCGCCUCUGCUCCACCUCCUCCCCCCCGUCUUCCAAGGCAAGGACCGCCUGUCUCUCCCUGCAUAUCGAUCUGGUUUCUUGAUUUGGGUUUGGGGGAUCUUCACGGCGGUCUUGCCAUUGCCAGGGCGGGUACACCUUCACCAUCGGGUACCAUGAGCUCGCCGGCUCCAAGGUGACUCUCAAGAAGCCCCUGCUGGUGCUGAGGAAGAAGAAGAACGGCAAGGGAGGUACCGGCGAGCUCGGCCAAGGUGGACCGGCGGAGGUGGAGCUGGAGGUGAUCGGCAUCAUCCGGCACAAGAUCCUCUUCAAGGACCGCCCCAAGGCUCUCAUCUCAAGUAAUCACCGAUCCAAUUUCCAUUUUCACCACAAUUGAUUCGGUGGAAACUUUGCUCAUGGCGUGUUUUUCCGGUUUCCUCCUGCAGAGCCGGUGCCGAAGGAGAAGAAGGCCCUGCCUGCAGCGGCGACCCCAUCAACCGUGCCUCCCGCUUCCUGAAGAAGAAAUGAAAAGUUUGUUAAGGAUCUGAAGCUCCUUAGGAUCUCUGAUUGUGCCUGUUUGUUUCCCCUGCCACAUCUUCUUCUUCCACCAUUGUUGUGCUUGUGCCAUAUAGCAGCAUGAAUUUGCCGUCGUUGAAGCACUCCAGUGAGAAAUUAGCACAAACGCCUAGCAAACUUGUGGGGCUGUUUGGGUCCACUGCUAUGCGUAUGGGAACCAAAUACUAGUAGCUUCAUAUUGCUUAUAUUCUUGUGGCGCCAGGUUCAUUUUGCUUAUCUCCCGACUUGUGCAUCUAGAGGAUACUACUCAAAUACUCCUGCAGUAUAAUUUAUCAUGUUUGAAGUACAAGAUAUGCCUAGCAUCGGAGGUAUUAAACCAUGAAUAGAAAAGGAGAUUAACGGGGAACACACCGUCUAGGAGUAGCGGCGGAGGUUAAGAUCAGAUCAGACCGUGUAACCCUGGCAGGCGAAGUUCAUCUUCAUGUUUCAGACGCCAAUGUUUUCAGUCCAGCCAGUAUAGAUCAUACUCUACACAUGAAACUGAAAAUAUUUGAUACUCACACACACAGCCACACAGCCACAGCCACAGCAGUGCAUGCCGACUAGGAAGGCCAAAUGUGCAGGAACAUAUUGCUAGUUGCUAGGUCCAACUAAUUAAUAAAGACCAGAAUAUCUGCCUUGAAAGCAGUGGUUUUAUAACAAAGGAUGCAAGACACAUACUUCACCAUGAAAAGUCGUUAAAGGUACCCAUGUUGUCUUGCACCAAAGGACACCAUGAAUUCAUUUGGAGCUAGCCGCACCGUUGGGGUACAGUCUAUUCCUAGUCCUUGCUUCAAGGAAGGUUGUGAAAAAGAGGCCAGAGACCACCGAUGCAGUGGCGGUUUUGGAGGAGAGGGGCUAAAUUUCGUGUUUUGACUUUUUUGCGAAGUAAAUUGACAUUUGACCCUAGUUUGGAAAAAAAUAUAUCAGGAUUUAACCCUUUUACCUACUGCCGUAGGCCGUGGCGGUAGCCUAGCACACCCUACUGCCAGCGCCCGUGGCGGUAGGUUGACAGAGGGCGAUGGACGACAGUUAGCCAUUGACGUGGCAAAGGACCUACCGCCAACCAGCCUGGCGAUAGGGGUAUCUACACCUAUCGCCGGAGACCCUGGCGGUAGGGUCCUGUGAUGGAUAAGAUUGCAUAUUUUGGUGGGUCUUUCCUCCCCUCCCCCCCCCACACACACACACAUUCAGCCAGUCACCUCUCCCUGAGCUCAACCAGCCAGUCACCUCUCCCCGAGCUCAAGUCUCCCCCUCUCUCUUCCUCACACAAGGGCCUCUUAAAUUUCUCUUAUUUGCUUGAGAUUUGUCCGUUGGAUCCGGAACACUUUCAUCAUUCAAGGUACCUCUCUCACGUCCCCUCAUUUUGACUGGUUGAAAUCAUGUAUUUUGAGUGUAUUUGCUCAUUUUAUUGCAAAACCUAGUUCAUCAUUUUGUUGUGGUGAAAUCAAUGAAUAUGAUGCAUUUAGGGUUCUUUUGUGAUUUCCUAUGUAUUAUGUGACUAGCAUUGUUGGGGGUAUCAUAGAUCUUGUGCUAGGGUUAGUGGUCAUGUUAAGUGUUAGUGUUAGGAUUAAGAAAUUAAUUAAGGCUAUGAUUACCUUAAUAGUCACUUCUUGAAAUGUAGGAUGAGACCGUUCGUUUACGUUGAGAUUUCUGCUAAGGCGGCGGCGAAUUGUGAACGCGAACUCAUUGAAGAAAAGAUGAACCCGUGGGUUGAAGUCGUUGAUGUGUUGAAUGCGACGUGUAGAGCUGUGGGGGGUUUCCCUUACAGUUUUCCUUCAAAAAAAAGGGUGUUUUGGAAAAUUUAAUAAAAAAGUGAAGAAGUUGGUGAAAGUGCAGUCAUGCCCUUAAUCGUGUUUUGGUGUUGCUGACAACACACAUAUAGAUAAUUAAUCACUAACCCUUUUUAAGCUAUUGUGAAUGAUCAUGUGUUGAUAAGGACAAGCUCAUGUGCUAACAAGGACAAGAUCAAGAUAAGCAUUCCUGAGCACUACAUGCUUGAUCCUUGUGGAUGUUCACAUGGUGGACAAAUGAAGAUAAAUAUAUAAGCUAGGCUUUCCACAUUGUGUAUGGGAGAGCUACUUGAAGACUUCAUCAUGUCUUGCUUUCAACAUUGAGCCAAGAAGGAACAACAACAUCAAGCUCAAGUGAAAGGGCUAACUCAAGGUAUCAGUUACUUUGAUGUUAGCGGUGCGGAGUGAUGAUCAGCGAAUAAAAGUACACACUCAAGUAUGGAUCAUCGGUAUCCCUUUUACAAUUCUUGAGUCUUUAGGGAUCCCGAACUAUUAAGAGGGGAUCACAGGUUUUUGUGAUGAACUUGCUCAAACUAGAUAUCCACUAUUCUGCUCAAUACCACAUAUUCUCUACUCUGCUCCUAUCUCAAAACAGGUCUAAUGUCUCGGACUUCCGGCUCCCUCCGGACGUCCGAGGGCCGGUCAAGGGUCGGACGACCGACAGGCUUCGGAAAUCCGGAGCCCUGCACCAGAAGAACUUGAGCCCUAUAACUCGGAUUUCCGGCUCCCUCCGGACAUCCGAGGGUCGGUCGACCGACCAGCUUCGGAAAUCCGGAGCCCUGCACCAGAAGAACGUGAGCUCUAUAACUCGGAUUUCCGGCUCCCUCCGGACAUCCGAGGGUCGGUCGACCGACCAGCUUCGGAAAUCCGGAGCCCUGCACCAGAAGAACGUGAGCUCUAUAACUCGGAUUUCCGGCUCCCUCCGGACGUCCGAGGGCCGGACGUCCGACCCCUUCGGAAAUCCGGAACCUUGCACCAGAAGAAGUUGAGUCGAAUAACUCGAAUUUCCGGCCUUCUCCGAACGUCCGGUCCCUGUUCAACUCACAGUGUUUCCAGACAUAUCUACAGCUCUCGGACGACCGACCCCUGUCGGACGUUCGACCCCUUACGGACGCCCGGACUUCCGUAAACUGCCGGACGUCCGAACCCUGUGUGACUUAAAGUGUCCCCAACGGCUGUUUUUACACUCCCCACUAUAUAUACCCCCUCCCACUUCGUGAGAGGGUGUCCAACACAGCCAUAUCCUCAUAAGAACACAUUUCUACCUCACACACAUUUGCUCACACCAAAUCUUAGAUCCCAAGAGCAUUUGUGAGCCCCUUUGAGAGUUGUUCCAAUCAAAAGAUAGAUCGUCUCCCUCUCCUUCUCUCAACCCAAGCUAUUUGAGAUUUGAGCAAGUUUUGAGCAUUCCCCGUGAUCUUGUUACUCUUGGAGGUUGGAGACUCCUAGGCGGUAGGAGUUCUUCGGAGAGGAAUCAAUCCGUGUGAUUACCCCCGGAAAAGUUUGUGAGGGUUUGGAAGCCACCUCAAAGGCUUACCACUAGUGGUUGAGAAACGCCUUCGUGGUGUUAUCUCAAAGGGAGAAUAGGGUGAGCCUUCGUGGCGUUGGUGUGCCUUCGUGGUAACAUCCACCUCUCUAACGGUGACUAGCUUCCCUCCAAGGAAGUGAACAUCGAGAUACAUCUUCGUCUCAGUGACCUUGGUUAUCCUUGACCCUAACUCCUUACUUGUGGUUUACUUGUGUUACUUGAGCAUACGUACAUUGCAUAUUGGUUGUGCUCACUAUAUUGUGUUGCCUAUUUCUUGUACAAGAUUAAUCACUCAAGCAUACCCUCUAUAUCCACACGUUCACACUUGCAGCUUUUGAUAUAUCGUGUGAUAUAGCGUGAUCUAGUAUCUUGUGUCGCUCACCUACUUGUCGUGUGAUAUAGCUCAAGUAAGUUUGUGUAACUUACUUGUGAUCGUUAGUAACUGUAUUGUGUCCAUCUUGGUAGAUCGUGUUGUUGAUACACGUUGCAGUGCCUAGUGCAUUUAGGAUUUGUGCUUGACAAGUACCCUCUUAGUUUAUUUCCGCAUUAGGUUAAGCCAAAUCCGAAGAAGUUUUUAAAUAGCCUAUUCACCCCCCUCUAGGCGUCAUCGAGGUCUUUUCAAUUGGUAUCAGAGCAAGGUCUCUCUUUAAUUAGGUUUCACGACCUAGAGAGUAUCGAUGUCGACUAUUGGAUUAGUGCACAAUGACACCUUUGACUUUGAUGGCACAAAUUAUACCCUAUGGAGAAUUCGUAUGCUUCAUCACUUUCGGGCCAUGGGCCCAAAUACUUUACGAAUUGUUCUUGUAGGGAUUGCCGACAAAAGGAAUGAUGCAUCUUCAUCUACUAAUGAAAUGUAUCUUAAGUGUGAGGCUUUUCUUGCCAUUCAUCGAACCAUAAGUCCUAAAGUGUUUAAGUCUAUCUCGACUUGCAAGUCAGCUCAUGAAGUUUGGACUAAACUUGAAGAUAUAUAUGGUGGGUCCAAUCUUGAUGAAGACGAUAUUAUGAUGAAGGAGUUGGUGCAUGAGCUCUUCACUCUUUUCGAUCAUAAAGAGUCCACCACUACUUCCAUAUCCGAUUGCUUGCACACCUCAGCAUCUUCAAUCUCACAAGGGGAAACCAAGAAAUAUGAAGUACUUUUGACUAAUGAAGAAUCUGAUUCACCAAAAGAAUCGGUAUUCACACCACCGGAUGAAAUUGAAGCCAUAAUCAAGGAGUUACUCUAGAAUGGUACUCUACAACCUAGUUCAUGCCUCACCGGCUCUUCUUUACAAGAAGAAAGAAGGUUCGUGGCGCCUAUGGAUUAUAGGCAACUCAAUGCGCAAACCGUAAAAAAGAAAUACCCGAUACCGGUCAUUGAUGAUCUUCUGGAUGAGCUACACGGUUAUACUGUGUACUCAACAAUCGUUUUAUCUAUUCCCACAUCGAUUCACCAAUCCUGGAACUCGUUAUGGAUAGAAGGUCCGUAGAAGUGAAAGUAGGACGACGGGAGAAAAGAGUAAGGAGUACCGGAAAAAGAAGAUUUUGGACUUUCUGCCCACGAAGAAAUAGUAGCAUUUGAAACUGGAAAGAUUUACUUUGGAUAGUAAAUCCCCAAGGAAGGGCUAUAAUCCAAACAAAGGAGGAGCUAGCGGACAGUUCGAAUUUCAACGAUUAGGGAGGGGAAUGAAACAAUCAUCAACUCCUCCAGUUCACAUGUGCCUCACCGCAAGAGGUAAUAAUGAGAUAUCAUCUUCCCUGUGCAAUAACGAUGAUAUUUGCGAUGAGGAUGAUGAUGAUGACUUGACUGAAAACAUCUAUGUGAUCAGUAAAAUUCUUCAUAAAGCCAAAAAUAACGCUCUUCAAAGAUUCCAAGAUAUUCUUGCUUACUUUGAAAAUUGUAAUGAUUCACUUAAUCAUGAACAAGCUAAAAGUGAACAACUUGAACAUGAACUUGAGAAGAGUCACCAAGCAUGUAGAGACUUAAGAUCUUCAAAAGGAGAGAUUGAAGUUGUUCAUGAUAAACUUAAAAAGGAUUUUGAGGUCCUUCUCCUUGAAUGCAAGAAUGUCAAGGGAGAGCUCAUCCAAACCUCUAAGGUCUAUGAGGAGCUUCAAUCUACCCAUGAGAAGUCUCUAAUCGCCACUUACUCUCCUCAUAUUGUUGAUGAUACUUGUAUAUCUAACCCUAUCUCUUUUGAAGUAUCAACAUUGAAGGAGAAUGUUGAGCUACGUGCUCAACUUGAUUUACUAACUAGCAAUUAUGGGAAGUUGGAAGAAAACCAUGUAAUGCUCACAAGCUCUCAUGCCGAUCUUCUAACAUCCCAUAAUGUGCAAAAGUUAGCUCAUGAGGCUAUCAUCACCAAGGUAACAUCAAGUGAGCCUCAGGUGGACAAUGGCACCACUUCUAAUCAAAGUACUAUAUCUCCAUGUGCCAGUCCUCGUAAUUCGUCCACUCAUAAUGUUGCUACCUCGUGUGAUGAAUUACUUUCCUUGCCUUGUUGCUCUAACAAUGACACUUACACUUCCUCUAGUAUUUGCAUUAAAACUAACCGUGUAGAGGAAAUCGAAGAGCUCAAGGCCCAAGUCACUUCUUUGAAGAAAGACUUGGAACAGUGUCAUGAAGGGAUGUCCACACUCAACAACGUCCCGUGUGAGCAAACAUCUCCGAAUGACAAAAAUGAUGUUGGAGUAAACUCAAACAAGAACAAGAGUGGCCUAGGACGAGUUAAGAAUUCAGCCAAAAUCAUUUGCUUCAAGUGCAAAGUUAAAGGGCACCAUGUUAGAUCUUGCCCUCUGAAGACGAAGUCUCAAAGUCACAAGCAACAAGGGAAGCGGCCACAAACUCAAUCACACACUCAGCUACAAGUUGAAGGAAGGCCUCUUCCCAAUAAGACCCAAGCCAACACUCCCCGAGGUGAGAAAUCAACUGGGAAGAAAGCAAAGGGUAGAUGUUGCUACUUAUGUCGUGAGAAGGGUCACGUCGCUUCGUCUUGCACGAGAGGUAACUUAUCCAACCCAAUCACUAUUGAUGAUAGCUAUUCCCUUGGGAAGGAUAAUGUUGGCAAUGUGUUUGCCAAGUUUGUUGGAACUCAAAAUGGUGUCAAGAAAAGAACCAUUUGGGUUGCCAAGCCUAUUGUGACUAACCUCUUAGGACCCAACGUAGUUGGGGACCAACAAGCUCAAACUUGAUCAAUAGGUGACUUUGGAGGACAUUGGAGACUUGGAUACACAAUGAAGAUUUGAGGACUCUUCAUCAUUCGUAUCAUCUCAAGCCAAGUCACUUGGAUUAUCGAGCCCAUAUCCCAUAUCCAAUGUGCCUCUUUGCGGUGACUUGUACUUAAAUUGUUUACAUUGAAAGUUGCCUGCCCCUCUCCCUCUCAUGUUUAGGUUUGGUUCCUAGCAUGUACUUUGACAUGUUGCGCCUACUAGUAUGAUUGUUAUAUGUUAUCUAUCAUGUGUAGGUCAUUAUGUAUGUUAUAUAGUUGUGUGUAGCCCUGAUCAUUACUCGCAUCCUAGUUGCACCGUUGUGUGGGUCUUUUGCGACGUUAAUAGCUCAUCACAUUAAGGGGGAGUGUUCUGCUCUACGCACACCACUAACCCAAAAUGUGUACAUAUGUGUUGGACUCCAUGUAGUAUUCGGUGCAAGAUUAUCCAAUCAAUUAGUUUGAUGUCAAGGCCAUCCGAAGUUUAAAUUGGCAUCCACUUAUCACCUUAGUUGGAUGAUUGAUUGCCUUGUAUGAUAAAUACAUGGAUUGUCACAUUAUGUGAGGAUGAUAUGCUUUGUGCAUGUCACAUCCCCUGGUAAGACAAAACAUCCGAUGUAUGCCACUCAGAAUCCACCAUAUGUGGUUAUCCUAUAACCGUGUGGUGUGUCAUGCUCCACAUAUCUUAAUUCGCAUAAUAAGCCCUGUUGGUAUCUAAAUUCCUUAGAUGUGCGUGAGUAUAAUGUCCUACUACACCAAUGCUCAUGGCUUAGCCGCUAGAUCGUAUCUAAAAGAAGGGCACUGUUGAUGCAUGCCUUUCGAAUUAAUCCUCCACACUAUGAUCUAACUAAUUGGGAUGUUAACGUAUGUCAUCUAAACAUUAUGCUUAUGGUUGAACUCCCAUAUCACACUUGUGUGAGUAUAAAACGAUUCUUGUGCUCGUUUGGCACCUACCACCACUGAUAACUCUAAAUGUCAUUGUGUUCUCUCACACAUGGUAUCUCUGGCUUGGUAGUGUUUUCAUGGUCAUUUUAUUUCAGUUCUAUCUUCAGUUGACCUACAUAACGUGCUGAGAAAUUCAUGUGUCUCCCGGUAGAGCUCGCACUACUUAUUUCAUAAUGUUGUGGGAGUUAUAAUCAUAUUACCUACACUUAUAAAUCUACUGGGGUGAGACAUGCAUGUAAGGUUGUGCAAAAUGCAUGCCUUACAUGGCUUGAUGCCUUGACCAGUUCAUGUGUUGAACUUGGGGUGCUACCAUGUGUUGAUUUGUCACCCUGAUCCAUUUUGGAUGACAUGAAUGUUCUGUAAUAGAAAAUUAUGUGUUCAUUUGUCCAAAUUGUAUAUCCUUGGAUUUUGAUAGGAUUGUGUAGGCAUAUUGUCACGCCCAAGAUGGGACCCUAUCCUUAAUUUGGCACGAGGGCCUCAUCAGGGAUAGAAGCGCAUCUCGUCGUGUCGCAAGAAUGGAUAUCGUUACAAGUACAAGUACUGAAAAGAAGAGAUAUAUAAUAGAAUUGGCUUACACUCGCCACAAGCUACAUCAGAGUCACAUUAGUACAUUACAUAAUCAUCAAGAGUAAGAAUAGGGUACGACUACGGACGAAAACAAACGACAAAAGAAGAAUGACGUCCAUCCUUGCUAUCCCAGGCUGCCGGCCUGGAACCCAUCCUAGAUCGCUGAAGAAGAAGAAGAAGAAGAAGCAACUCCAAAUGAAAAAUCAACGCGCUCGCGUCAAGUAACCUUUACCCAUACCUGCAACUGGUGUUGUAGUAAUCUGUGAGCCACAUGGGACUCAGCAAUCUCAUUUCUAAAGGUAUCAAGACUAGCAAAGCUUAAUGGGUGAGGCAUGGUUAAGUGGUGAGGUUGCAGCAACGACUAAGCAUAUAUAUAUGGUGGCUAACUUACGAGUACAAGAAAUAAGAGGGGGAAGAUCUACGCAUAACGGACGUGAACUACUGAUGGUCAAAUGAAUGAUCCUGAACACCUACCUACGUCAGACAUAACCCCACCGUGUCCUCGAUCGGAGAAGGAACUCACGAAAGAGACAAUCACGGUUACGCACACAGUUGGCAAGUUUUAAUUAAGUUAACUUCAAGUUAUCCAGAACCAGUGUUAAACAAAGUUUCCACGUUGCCACAUAACCGCGGGCACGACUUUCCGAAAAGAUUUAACCCUGCAGGGGUGCUCCAACUAGUCCAUCACAAAUUACCACAAGUCGCAUAGAAAUCCUCGAUCACGACACUCGCGAUCUCGUCGGACUCCUUAGUGGAAAACCUCAACUCUGAGAUUACCCAAAGCAUCACCGGAAUCCCGAUGCAUAAGAUAUUUCGUCAAAGGUAAAACUAAUCCAGCAAGGCCGCCCGACGUGUCGACGAUCCCGAUAGGAGUCGCGUACCUCGUUCUCAGGACACGACGGAUGGGUCACACUAGGAGAUACCAAACCUCGGGUUGCCCCACGGUGGCCCCGUAGUCUGCCAAUUUGGACCAACACUCAUGAGGAGCACUGGCCCGGGGGUUGAUUAAAUUAUCCUCGGGUUAAUUACUCCCUAUGCAGUUCAUUAGUUAUUAGGCAAAUGUAGUACCAAAGUUGGGCCUUGCCAGACCAGCUUUAAUCUAAAACAAAUUAUCAAGGGGGUCCCCAUAACAACCCCGAUCGUGUUAGGAGCGCUCAAUUAUGGAACAUAACACCGGUAGCCAAAAACUAAGGGGGCAAAGGUGGAACAAAACACCAAGCUAGAAAGGCCGAGCCUUCCACCUUUUACCAAGUAUAUAGGUGCAUUAAAUUAAAUAGCAUUUAAUAUGGUAAUAUAACAAGUAACCCAUGUUGUCACAUGGAAGCAACUGCACCUGCAACUAGCAACGCUAACAAAAGGGUUAAGCAAGUAGUAACAUAGCCAAUCAGUGGUUUGCUAGGUCGAACAGGUUGAGGGUAAUCAUGGCAUUGUUGAGAGGCUGAUAUUAAACAUGUGGUAGGCAACGAGACAUAAUCGAUAGAAGCGAUGAAACUAGCACGACAAUGAUAGUAAUGGUAUCUGGGGAAAUGGUCAUCUUGCCUGAGAUCCCACUUGGAAGAAGAAUGACUCCGUGAAGCAGACGGACCGAUGUAGUCGAACGGUUCCUCACUUUCCGAAGCGGUCGGAACUCUAUCGGAACGAAGCAAACCGGAAACAAACAUCAACACAAAUAUUCACCACGGCAAAAGCAAGACAUGAUGCACACCCUAAUAUGAUGCAUGAACAGAUCAAUGAUGCAAGUGAUGGCAUGGCAAUUCACCUCACGCAAACACUGCACAUUAAAUGAAGCUCGAUAUGCAACGAGUUGCAUACCGACGAAACUCCAUGAUUAAUUAUUUAGUUCACUCCCGAUUAUUUACACGGCAAUACUAAAUUGUAGUUAACAUGGCAAGGGGUGAAGCACAAAUUAAACUACCUAUCUAGGCAUUUUAAAUGAGACCGGAAACGAAAUAUAGCAUCUCCGAAAUGACCCCAGGUGUUAAAUACUAAUUCUAUCCAGAUUUGUCCUAAUCACAAUUUAGGUUUGUUGAACAGAGAAAUAAAGUGGUUCACGUGAAACUACACGUCGGUCUAUUCUAUUUACAUAUAUGGAACAUAUCCAACGGAGCUACGGAUAAUUAGUUACGACCUAAACCGUUUUUAUCGCGUUGACACGUAAACCGAUGGAAACAACACGUUUAAGUAUUUUUAUCAUGCAUGAAGGUUAGAAAUUAUUAAUCUACACAAAAUUCUACACGUUCUAAAAUAUAAAGUUUUUUUUAAUCCGAUGCAUGGUUGAAUUAUAUGGAUUUUCAAAAGGCUAAAAGAAUCUGCCCAAAGCAAAACAUAGCAAAAAAAAUAAAGGAGGGCGCUAGGGAUUUGAUCCCACAACCUGAUGGAUUCAAAAGCCUAAAGAUAACCAGCUCGGCUGGCUACUUGCACGUUAAUUAAAUGGGUCUCUAAACUAAUUAAAACGGCAGCAGUAGCUCAUCCUCGAGUGAUGAAUUGCAGAAAUAAAAAAAAUGUGGAGCCAUGGGGUUUCGAACCCAAGAUCUCUUGGCUGCACACCAACGAACUAACCAGCUGGACUGCUGCACGGUUGUGGUAAAAAUGAAGGAUGACGCCUAAUGAACCGAUACAGCCACAAGUCUGAACGAGGCUGAAAAUACUGUAACUGAACCUGAACCUGAACCUGAGAAAGGGAUGCGUCCGGCCAUGGAAGUAACAACAGGUCAAUGGCGCGGCAUGGACGCUGCUGGCGGGGGGAAGGCCGGAUCUGGGACGAGGAGCUCGUCGGGGCUCGGUUCCUGCUGGAUCCAGGCGCUGAUGUGGUCGGCAUCAGGUCCCGCUUCGGUUGAAACUCCACGUGCUGCUGCUGCUUCUAACUACAGAGAACACAGAGAGAGAGUUACGGGAGAGGAGGAGAGAGGAGGAAGAGGGAGGGAGAGGGGAGGCGAGGUCCUACCUGCGGGAGGUAGCCGGCAGCGGCCGGAGCUCCUCGCGGUGGUGGGGCGCUGCUGGAGAUGCCCGUAGGCGCGGGCAUCAGAGGGAGCCAGCGAGAGCAGAGGAGGGUGGCCUGGUCGAGGCUGGCCAAGGGGUGGCGCUCGAGGGCGACCUCCUGCUCGAGCCAGGAGCGCAGAGGGAGGCGCGGGGCAGCUCGGGCUGCGGGCGGGGCGCAGCAUGGUGGGGCGAGCGGGCGGAGGAGCUGCGGCUCGAGCUAGGCGCGACCAUGAUUCUCGGGACCGGCAGAUCGAGAGGAGAAUCGGGGGAAGCGAUGCUGACUGGAGGAAAGAUCUGGGAUGAUCCCGACGGGAAUUUUUCAAUGGGUGGCGGCGGCUGAUUCGGGAUUGGGGAGUGGAUCGAGGUAGAGGCUAUGGUUAGGUCUAGGUUUACUACAUAUAGCACUUGGUCGGUCUAAUAGGCAUUUGGACCCUUCGAUUAAAUCAGACGGUCAAAAUGACUAGGUUAGGGAGUCCAGUUGACAAACUGGUGACGGUUUGCGGUAAAACGGUGUUGAUCCGGAUCCAACGAUCAUCACCGUAUGAUUCAGGUUUCCGGAGGUUUUCGGGCUAGGUUGCGCGCAGGCCGGUGCACUGUGUAGAGGGGCUAGGCGGAGAUGAGAGGGAAAACAGGCAACCCGGCGACAGAGUUUAACAAUGUCGCGGGUGCGUGCCUGUGUGGUAGGUCUCAAACGGUCAACGACAAAACGGAGAGAACCGACAACUAACAACGGAUGCAGUUUUGAAAACUGGCGGCAAUGGAGUGUCGAUGCAAUGCAGAUGAUGCGCAUCAUGCGAUGAUGAUGCGACAAAUGAAAAUACCCACACGACGAAAACGGAAAGAAAAGGGGAAUCUUCUGGAACGCCGGCGUCGGGCUGUCAGACAUAUCUACUAUGUGUAGAUGCACAUGCCGUGUCUAUCGUAUCUUUGAUCCAAUAUAUGUAUAUGGUAAAUUAGACAUAUCCAUUAAAAAGGUUAGGGUGUGCUUGAAAGUAAAACUUAUAUCUAUAUGCACAUAAUUGAGUGAUCUUACCCUAUAUAUAUAUAUUGUAGUUGGACUAACUACUUCCGACCCAAUAAGUUUGGGGACCAUAUUGUUGUUGGAAUUAUGCCCUAGAGGCAAUAAUAAAUAUAGUUAUUAUUAUAAUUCCUGUAUCAAGAUAACCGUUUAUUAUCCAUGCUAUAAUUGUAUUGAAUGAAGACUCGUUUACAUGUGUGGAUACAUAGACAAAACACCGUCCCUAGCAAGCCUCUAGUUGGCUAGCCAGUUGAUCAAAGAUAGUCAGUGUCUUCUGAUUAUGAACAAGGUGUUGUUGCUUGAUAACUGGAUCACGUCAUUAGGAGAAUCACGUGAUGGACUAGACCCAAACUAAUAGACGUAGCAUGUUGAUCGUGUCAUUUUGUUGCUACUGUUUUCUGCGUGUCAAGUAUUUAUUCCUAUGACCAUGAGAUCAUAUAACUCACUGACACCGGAGGAAUGCUUUGUGUGUAUCAAACGUCGCAACGUAACUGGGUGACUAUAAAGAUGCUCUACAGGUAUCUCCGAAGGUGUUAGUUGAGUUAGUAUGGAUCAAGACUGGGAUUUGUCACUCCGUGUGACGGAGAGGUAUCUCGGGGCCCACUCGGUAAUACAACAUCACACACAAGCCUUGCAAGCAAUGUGACUUCGUGUAAGUUGCGGGAUCUUGUAUUACGGAACGAAUAAAGAGACUUGCCGGUAAACGAGAUUGAAAUAGGUAUACGGAUACUGACGAUCGAAUCUCGGGCAAGUAACAUACCGAAGGACAAAGGGAAUGACAUACGGGAUUAUAUGAAUCCUUGGCACUGAGGUUCAAACGAUAAGAUCUUCGUAGAAUAUGUAGGAUCCAAUAUGGGCAUCCAGGUCCUGCUAUUGGAUAUUGACCGAGGAGUCUCUCGGGUCAUGUCUACAUAGUUCUCGAACCCGCAGGGUCUGCACACUUAAGGUUCGACGUUGUUUUAUGCGUAUUUGAGUUAUAUGGUUGGUUACCGAAUGUUGUUCGGAGUCCCGGAUGAGAUCACGGACGUCACGAGGGUUUCCGGAAUGGUCCAGAAACGAAGAUUGAUAUAUAGGAUGACCUCAUUUGAUUACCGGAAGGUUUUCGGAGUUACCGGGAAUGUACCGGGAAUGACGAAUGGGUUCCGGGUGUUCACCGGGGGGGGCAACCCACCCCGGGGAAGCCCAUAGGACUUGGGGGUGGCGCACCAGCCCUUAGUGGGCUGGUGGGCCAUACAAAGGAAAAUCAAAGAGAAAGAAAAAAAAGGGAGGUGGGAAGGAAGGGAAGGACUCCCACCCACCAAACCAAGUCCAACUCGGUUUGGGGGGGGGGAGCCUUCCCCCCUUGGACUCGGCCGACCCCCUUGGGGCUCCUUGAGCCCCAAGGCAAGGUCCCCUCCCUCCCACCUAUAUAUACGGAGGUAUUGGGGCUGAUUUGAGACGACUUUUCCACGGCAGCCCGACCACAUACCUCCACGGUUUUUCCUCUAGAUCACGUUUCUGCGGAGCUCGGGCGGAGCCCUGCUGAGACAAGGUCAUCACCAACCUCCGGAGCGCCGUCACGCUGCCGGAGAACUCUUCUACCUCUCCGUCUCUCUUGCUGGAUCAAGAAGGCCGAGAUCAUCGUCGAGCUGUACGUGUGCUGAACGCGGAGGUGCCGUCCGUUCGGUACUAGAUCGUGGGACUGAUCGCGGGAUUGUUCGCGGGGCGGAUCGAGGGACGUGAGGACGUUCCACUACAUCAACCGCGUUCUCUAACGCUUCUGCUGUACGGUCUACAAGGGUACGUAGAUCACUCAUCCCCUCUCGUAGAUGGUCAUCACCAUGAUAGGUCUUCGUGCGCGUAGGAAAUUUUUUGUUUCCCAUGCGACGUUCCCCAACAGUGGCAUCAUGAGCUAGGUUCAUGCGUAGAUGUCUUCUCGAGUAGAACACAAAAGUUUUUGUGGGCGGUGAUGUGCGUUUUGCUGCCCUCCUUAGUCUUUUCUUGAUUCCGCGGUAUUGUUGGAUUGAAGCGGCUUGGACCGACAUUACUCGUACGCUUACGAGAGACUGGUUUCAUCGUUACGAGUAACUCCGUUGCUCAAAGAUGACUGGCAAGUGUCGGUUUCUCCAACUUUAGUUGAAUCGGAUUUGACCGAGGAGGUCCUUGGAUGAGGUUAAAUAGAAACUCAUAUAUCUCCGUUGUGGUGUUUGCGUAAGUAAGAUGCGAUCCUACUAGAUACCCAUGGUCACCACGUAAAACAUGCAACAACAAAAUUAGAGGACGUCUAACUUGUUUUUGCAGGGUAUGCUUGUGAUGUGAUAUGGCCAACGAUGUGAUGUGAUAUAUUGGAUGUAUGAGAUGAUCAUGUUGUAAUAGAAAAUAUCGACUUGCACGUCGAUGGUACGGCAACCGGCAGGAGCCAUAGGGUUGUCUUUAUACUAACGUUUGUGCUUGCAGAUGCGUUUACUAUUUUGCUAGGAUGUAGCUUUAGUAGUAAUAGCAUGAGUAGCACGACAAACCCCGAUGGCAACACGUUGAUGGAGAUCAUGGCGUGGCGCCGGUGACAAGAAGAUCGUGCCGGUGCUUUGGUGAUGGAGAUGAAGCAGCACGUGAUGAUGGCCAUAUCAUGUCACUUAUGAAUUGCAUGUGAUGUUAAUCCUUUUAUGCACCUUAUAUUGCUUAGAACGACGGUAGCAUUAUGAGGUGAUCUCUCACUAAAAUUUCAAGACGAAAUUGUGUUCUCCCCGACAGUGCACCAUUGCUAUAGUUCGUCAUUUCGAGACACCACGUGAUGAUCGGGUGUGAUAGACUCAACGUUCACAUACAACGGGUGCAAAACAGUUGCGCACGCGGAACACUCGGGUUAAGCUUGACGAGCCUAGCAUGUGCAGACAUGGCCUCGGAACACAUGAGACCGAAAGGUCAAUCAUGAAUUAUAUGGAUGAUAUGAUUAGCAUAGGGAUGCUUACCACUGAAACUAUACUCGACUCACGUGAUGAUCGGACUUGAGCUAGUGUAAGUGGAUCAUGAACCACUCAAAUGACUAGAGAGAUGUACUUUUUGAGUGGGAGUUUAGCAAAUAAAUUGAUUAAGUUAAACUCUAAUUAUCUUGAACAUAGUCUAAGUCCACUUUGAAUAUAUUUGUGUUGUAGAUCAUGGCUCACGCGACAGUCAUCCUGAAUUUUAAUACGUUCCUAGAGAAAGCUAAGUUGAAAGAUGAUGGAAGCAACUUUGUAGACUGGGCUCAUAAUCUUAAGCUAAUCUUACAAGCUGGGAAGAAAGAUUAUGUCCUUAAUGCUGCGAUAGGAGAUGAACCACCCACUAUGGCUGAUCAGGAUGUUAAGAACGCUUGGUUAGCACGUAAGGAUGACUACUCAAUAGUUCAAUGUGCAGUCUUGUAUGGCUUAGAACCGGGACUUCAACGUCGCUUUGAGCGUCAUGGAGCAUUUGAGAUGUUCCAGGAGUUGAAGUUUAUCUUUCAGAAGAACGCCCGGAUCGAGAGGUAUGAGACCUCCGAUAAAUUCUAUGCUUGCAAGAUGGAGGAAAACUCGUCUGUCAGUGAACAUGUGCUCAAAAUGUGUGGGUACUCAAACCGUCUAGCUGAGCUGGGGAUUGAACUCCCGCAAGAAGCUAUCACUGCAGAAUCCUUCAAUCACUGCCGCCAAGCUAUAAAGGCUUUGUGUUGAACUACAACAUGUAAGGGAUGAACAAGUCUCCCGGCGAGUUGUUUGCGAUGCUGAAAGUCGCAGAGUCUGAACUCCGUAAAGAGCAUCAAGUGUUGAUGGUGAAUAAGACCACUAGUUUCAAGAGAAACGGCAAAGGCAAGAAGGGCAAUUUGAAGAAGAGCGNNNNNNNNNNNNNNNNNNNNNNNNNNNNNNNNNNNNNNNNNNNNGAGCGUCAAGCCUGUUGCCAAUCCGACGAAGAAACCCAAAGCUGGACCUAAGCCUGAAACGGAGAGUUACUAUUGCAAGGGUAUGGGUCACUGAAAGCGCAAUUGCCCCAAGUAUCUGGCAGAUAAGAAGGCGGCCAAAGAAAAAUCAGGUAUAUUUGAUAUACAUGUUAUUGAUGUGUACUUAACCGGCUCUCGUAGUAGUGCCUGGGUAUUCGAUACCGGUUCUGUUGCUCAUAUUUGCAACUCAAAACAGGAACUGCGGAAUAGACGAAGGCUGGCGAAAGAUGAAGUGACGAUGCGCAUAGGAAAUGGUUCCAAGGUUGAUGCAAUCGCCGUCGGCACAGUGUCACUUCAGUUACCAUCAGGAUUAGUGAUGAACUUAAAUCAUUGUUAUUUAGUGCCUGCGUUGAGCAUGAACAUUAUAUCUGGAUCUUGUUUAUUGCGAGACGUUUACUAUUUUAAGUCAGAGAAUAAUGGUUGUUCUAUUUCUAUGAGUAACAUCUUUUAUGGUCAUGCACCUAAUGUGAGAGGAUUGUUCAUAUUGAAUCUUGAUAGCGAUAUGCAUAUACAUAACAUUGAGACCAAAAGAGUUAGAGUUAACAAUGAUAGCGCCAUAUUUUUGUGGCACUGCCGAUUAGGUCAUAUUGGUGUAAAGCGCAUGAAGAAACUCCAUGCUGAUGGACUUUUGGAGUCACUUGACUUUGAUUCACUUGACACGUGCGAACCAUGCCUCAUGGGCAAGAUGACUAAGACUCCGUUCUCCGGAACUAUGGAGCGUGCAAGUGACUUGUUGAAAAUCAUACAUACCGAUGCGUGUGGUCCGAUGAGCGUAGAGGCGCGCGACGGAUAUCGUUAUUUUCUCACCUUCACUGACGAUUUGAGUAGAUAUGGUUAUGUCUACUUGAUGAAGCACAAGUCUGAAACAUUUGAAAAUUUCAAGCAAUUUCAGAGUGAAGUGGAAAAUCAUCGUAACAAGAAGAUCAAGUUCCUACGGUCUGAUCGUGGGGGUGAAUAUCUGAGUUUUGAAUUUGGUGCUCACUUAAGACAAUGUGGAAUUGUUUCACAGUUAACACCGCCUGGAACACCACAACGUAAUGGUGUGUCCGAACGUCGUAAUCGUACUUUAUUAGAGAUGGUGCGAUCUAUGAUGUCUCUUACCAAUUUGCCGUUAUCAUUUUGGGGUUAUGCAUUAGAAACAGCUGCAUUCACUUUAAAUAGGGCACCAUCAAAAUCCGUUGAGACGACACCAUACGAACUGUGGUAUGGCAAAAGGCCAAAGUUGUCGUUUCUUAAAGUUUGGGGAUGUGAUGCUUAUGUCAAAAAGCUUCAGCCUAAAAAGCUGGAACCCAAAGCGGAAAGGUGCGUCUUCAUAGGUUACCCAAAAGAGAUAGUUGGGUACACCUUCUAUCUCAAAUCCGAGGGCAAAGUGUUUGUUGCUAAAAACAGAGCUUUUCUCGAGAAGGAGUUUCUCUCAAGAGAAUUGAGUGGGAGGAAGAUAGAACUUGACGAGGUUGUCGAACCUCUCAUCCCUCUGGAUGGUGGCGCAGGGCAAGGGGAAACCUCUGUCAUUGCGACACCGGUUGAGGAGGAAGUUAAUGAUGAUGAUCAUGAAACUCCGGUUCAAGUUUCUAUCGAACCACGCAGGUCGACGAGACCACGUACUGCUCUAGAGUGGUACGGUAAUCCCGUCUUAUCAAUCAUGUUGUUAGACAACAAUAAACCUGCAAAUUAUGAAGAAGCAAUGGUGGGCCCAGAUUCCAACAAAUGGCUAGAAGCCAUGAAGUCCGAGAUAGGAUCCAUGUAUGAGAACAAAGUGUGGACUUUGGAAGUACUACCUGAGGGCCGCAAGGCUAUUCAGAACAAAUGGAUCUUUAAGAGGAAGAUGGACGCUGACGGCAAUGUGACCGUUUAUAAAGCUCGACUUGGGGCAAAGGGUUUUUCACAAGUUCAAGGAGUUGACUACGAUGAGACUUUCUCACCCGUAGCGAUGCUUAAGUCCGUCAGAAUCAUGUUAGCGAUAGCUGCAUUUUUCGAUUAUGAGAUCUGGCAGAUGGAUGUCAAAACGGCGUUCCUUAACGGUUUCCUUAAGGAAGAGUUGUAUAUGAUACAACCCGAAGGUUUUGUCGAUCCUAAAAAUGCUGACAAGGUGUGCAAGCUCCAACGAUCUAUUUAUGGACUGGUGCAAGCAUCUCGGAGUUGGAACAAACGUUUUGAUGAGGUGAUCAAAGCAUUUGGGUUUAUACAAGUGGUUGGAGAAUCUUGUAUUUACAAGAAAGUGAGUGGGAGCUCUGUGGCGUUUCUAAUAUUAUAUGUGGAUGACAUAUUGCUGAUUGGAAACAACGUGGAGUUUUUGGAGAGCAUAAAGGAUUACUUGAAUAAAAGUUUCUCUAUGAAGGACCUAGGAGAAGCUGCUUACAUUCUAGGCAUUAAGAUCUAUAGGGAUAGAUCAAAACGCCUGAUAGGACUUUCACAAAGCACAUACCUUGAUAAAGUUUUGAAAAGGUUCAAAAUGGAACAGUCCAAGAAAGGGUUCUUGCCAGUUCUACAAGGUACGAGAUUGAGUAAGACUCAGUGCCCAGCAACUGAUGAAGAUAGAGAGCAUAUGCGCUCCGUCCCCUAUGCUUCAGCCAUAGGUUCUAUCAUGUAUGCGAUGUUGUGCACUAGACCGGAUGUUAGCCUGGCCAUAAGUAUGGCAGGUAGGUUCCAGAGUAAUCCAGGAGUGGAUCACUGGACAGCGGUCAAGAAUAUCCUGAAGUACCUGAAAAGGACUAAGGAGAUGUUUCUCGUGUAUGGAGGUGACGAAGAGCUCGCCGUAAAAGGUUACGUCGAUGCAAGCUUUGACACAGAUCCGGACGACUCUAAGUCGCAAACCGGAUACGUAUUUAUUCUUAAUGGGGGUGCGGUAAGCUGGUGCAGUUCCAAGCAAAGCGUCGUAGCAGAUUCUACAUGUGAAGCGGAGUACAUGGCUGCCUCGGAGGCGGCCAAGGAGGGUGUCUGGAUGAAGCAGUUCAUGACGGAUCUUGGAGUGGUGCCAAGCGCACUGAAUCCAAUAACCUUGUUCUGUGACAACACGGGUGCCAUUGCCUUAGCAAAGGAACCGCGGUUUCACAAGAAGACCAGACACAUCAAACGACGCUUCAACCUCAUCCGCGACUACGUCGAGGGAGAGGACGUAAAUAUAUGCAAAGUGCACACGGAUCUGAAUGUAGCAGACCCGCUGACUAAACCUCUUCCACGGCCAAAGCAUGGUCAACACCAGAACUGUAUGGGUGUUAGAUUUAUUACAAUGUAAUUCACAUGAUGAUGUGAGGGCUAGAUUAUUGACUCUAGUGCAAGUGGGAGACUGUUGGAAUUAUGCCCUAGAGGCAAUAAUAAAUAUAGUUAUUAUUAUAAUUCCUGUAUCAAGAUAACCGUUUAUUAUCCAUGCUAUAAUUGUAUUGAACGAAGACUCAUUUACAUGUGUGAAUACAUAGACAAAACACCGUCCCUAGCAAGCCUCUAGUUGGCUAGCCAGUUGAUCAAAGAUAGUCAGUGUCUUCUGAUUAUGAACAAGGUGUUGUUGCUUGAUAACUGGAUCACGUCAUUAGGAGAAUCACGUGAUGGACUAGACCCAAACUAAUAGACGUAGCAUGUUGAUCGUGUCAUUUUGUUGCUACUGUUUUCUGCGUGUCAAGUAUUUAUUCCUAUGACCAUGAGAUCAUAUAACUCACUGACACCGGAGGAAUGCUUUGUGUGUAUCAAACGUCGCAACGUAACUGGGUGACUAUAAAGAUGCUCUACAGGUAUCUCCGAAGGUGUUAGUUGAGUUAGUAUGGAUCAAGACUGGGAUUUGUCACUCCGUGUGACGGAGAGGUAUCUCGGGGCCCACUCGGUAAUACAACAUCACACACAAGCCUUGCAAGCAAUGUGACUUCGUGUAAGUUGCGGGAUCUUGUAUUACGGAACGAAUAAAGAGACUUGCCGGUAAACGAGAUUGAAAUAGGUAUACGGAUACUGACGAUCGAAUCUCGGGCAAGUAACAUACCGAAGGACAAAGGGAAUGACAUACGGGAUUAUAUGAAUCCUUGGCACUGAGGUUCAAACGAUAAGAUCUUCGUAGAAUAUGUAGGAUCCAAUAUGGGCAUCCAGGUCCUGCUAUUGGAUAUUGACCGAGGAGUCUCUCGGGUCAUGUCUACAUAGUUCUCGAACCCGCAGGGUCUGCACACUUAAGGUUCGACGUUGUUUUAUGCGUAUUUGAGUUAUAUGGUUGGUUACCGAAUGUUGUUCGGAGUCCCGGAUGAGAUCACGGACGUCACGAGGGUUUCCGGAAUGGUCCAGAAACGAAGAUUGAUAUAUAGGAUGACCUCAUUUGAUUACCGGAAGGUUUUCGGAGUUACCGGGAAUGUACCGGGAAUGACGAAUGGGUUCCGGGUGUUCACCGGGGGGGGCAACCCACCCCGGGGAAGCCCAUAGGACUUGGGGGUGGCGCACCAGCCCUUAGUGGGCUGGUGGGCCANNNNNNNNNNNNNNNNNNNNNNNNNNNNNNNNNNNNNGGAACCCACCCCGGGGAAGCCCAUAGGACAUGAGGAUGGUGCACCAACCCUUAGUGGGCUGGUGGGACAGCCCAAAAGGGCCCUAUGCGCCAUACAAAGGAAAAUCAAAGAGAAAGAAAAAAAAGGGAGGUGGGAAGGAAGGGAAGGACUCCCACCCACCAAACCAAGUCCAACUCGGUUUGGGGGGGGGAGCCUUCCCCCCUUGGACUCGGCCGACCCCCUUGGGGCUCCUUGAGCCCCAAGGCAAGGUCCCCUACCUACCACCUAUAUAUACGGAGGGAUUGGGGCCAAGGCAAGGUCCCCUCCCUCCCACCUAUAUAUACGGAGGUAUUGGGGCUGAUUUGAGACGACUUUUCCACGGCAGCCCGACCACAUACCUCCACGGUUUUUCCUCUAGAUCACGUUUCUGCGGAGCUCGGGCGGAGCCCUGCUGAGACAAGGUCAUCACCAACCUCCGGAGCGCCGUCACGCUGCCGGAGAACUCUUCUACCUCUCCGUCUCUCUUGCUGGAUCAAGAAGGCCGAGAUCAUCGUCGAGCUGUACGUGUGCUGAACGCGGAGGUGCCGUCUGUUCGGUACUAGAUCGUGGGACUGAUCGCGGGAUUGUUUGCGGGGUGGAUCGAGGGACGUGAGGACGUUCCACUACAUCAACCGCAUUCUCUAACGCUUCUGUUGUACGGUCUACAAGGUUACGUAGAUCACUCAUCCCCUCUCGUAGAUGGUCAUCACCAUGAUAGGUCUUCGUGCGCGUAGGAAAUUUUUUGUUUCCCAUGCGACGUUCCCCAACAAUUGUGCCUAAUUGGUGGUUUAGGUACUUUGGAGAAGCAUUGCUAUCUUGACUUAUUCUCAGAAAAAGAUGGUGCUAGUCACGAAGAAAUUAGAGUCAAGACAGGACUCGGCUACUUCUACGCCAUACCAAUGCUUUUCCGGUAACAAGUAUUUACUUCAUGCAUGUACAAUAUUAGAGUCAACACUGUGUAGGUUGCAUCAUGGCAUGAACAUAAUACUUUUUCCACUUUGUAAUUUCCUGCAUGUCCUUGUGAAUCACAUUGAUGAAAUGCUUAGUGUUGGUGUUCUCUUAGCUCUUCAUGGUCAUAUGAAUGAGACAAAUUUGUGCCAUGACCCUUGUGUCAUGUGCCUUGCUCUUAUAAAAGGAUAACUUGUGCAUGAUUCUAUGCACUCAUGCGUUUGACGUAUUUUGGAUCCACAUUUAUCGUAGUAAUCGUAUUAAAAGACUUACAUCAGACCAUGUCCAAAAUAUGUUAGUUGAGAGGUCCCUUUGGCUGCUACACAUGCGAGAAUACUUAGUAUCACCUCAUCAUCAAAAAUUCCAGAAUCAGCCUCUGCCUCCUCCUCUCUCUCGGUCGUCCGACGUGUCUCGGACAUCCGACGGCUAACCUCAUUCCGGACGUCCGACCAGUGUCGGUCGUCCGAUGGCAAAAUCCUCUCCGAACGUCCGACGCGUGUCGGACGUCCGACACAUCGGGGCCUAUAAAUAGAUGGGCGCGGGGCUGGGCUUUUCCCUAGCCCUCACGCGCCCCCUUUUUUCCCGUGCAGCCGCCGCCGCCAGCACCAGGAGCGCUCGCCCGCGCUGCCACUCCCGAGAUCUGCCUGAUCUCCUCCACGGAUCCUUCUCUUCUUCCUCUUCUUCCUCCGCGGGAUCCAUCUGCAGGUAUCUCCUUCGUUCCCCUCGCGUUUGGUCCCCUCUCUCCCAAGUCCACGUGUUCGUUCAUAUGGUUUGACCAUGUUCAUUCCUCAUUUGGGGUUUCCAUCCGUGUAGGUUGUUGUGCAUCAUGCCCAGGGUUAAGCAUGCCGCCCGGAAGGACGUUGCUGGCUCAUCUGCUCAUGCCCCUACUGGCACGGGGUCGGACUCGGAAGGGCAACGUCGUCCCUUCAAACGGACUGCCCGACGUCCUCCGUCUCCACAACUCCCCUCGUCGUCUGAUGGUGAUGGCUCUGACUUCGAGGAUGAGCUUGCCGCCGAGGACCGUGCUGACCAGCCCGCCGAUCGGAGGUCCAUGCCAAAGCCCGGGACUCGCAGGGCGUCCUAUAUGCCACCACCUCCUCCUUCUCAGCCCGCAGGUGAAGCUCGUCGCAUCUCACUUGAACCCCCUGCUACCUUAGGUCGUGAAGUCACGAACUUCACCACGCUUGCCAAGUCUUCAUACCUCACUUUCCGCCGCGACAUUGAUCAAUUCACUGUCGUACGUGACUCUACGGACUCACGUUUCCGCACACACGUCCAGGCGGACAUUUUUACUACAGUCAUAGUUUCUAAGGGUCUCUCUGUUCAUCACUUCAUAGAUCUUGAGCAUAUUCGCAUGCACCCGGCGAAAUACCCGGGUGCCAUUGAGCUUAUUGAGGCAUCGGGGCUUGCUGCCCCGUUUGCUUUUCAUCGUGAUUUUAACGCUGCUGCCAUUCACCAGUUCUAUGCCACAUGCUUCUUUGCUCCAAAUCACACUGUUAGCUGGAUCACCUCUGACGUUCGCUUCACAGCUUCUUAUGAUACGUUUGUUGCCGCACUUGGUUUCCCAACUCCGGCUUCAAAAUACAUAGGAAUGAUCCUAACCAUGCACCUAAGUUCAUUGAGGCGUGUGGGUAUCUCCUCAAACCACUCCGUGAGCUUGAUGCGGAUGAACGCAUGAAGGAUCUUAACCAGGUAUCCAUCUGGCGUUCACCUUACUUUAUCAUCUUUCAGUGUCUUAUCCGCACCAUCUAUCCCAAGAUGGGUGAUAAGGGCUCUUGCAGUGGCUACUGUAUUGACAUCAUGUCACACUUGUGCGAGCACCCCAAGAGCAAAAUUAAUGUGCCUCACUUUCUAUGGCAUGAGAUUCAGCUUGCUAGUUUUCAAUACAAGCGAGCUUUCCCUCAUGCCCCCUUCAUCCAGACUCUUAUUAAUCAUGUUGUUGAUUUCUCUGUUGAUGUCACUCACACACAUCACAAGUGGGUCAUUCCCGCUCACAUGGCGGAUAACUAUGUUCCCAAGAAAACCCCAUCCUCCACAUCCACUCGCCGCACUGCUGCCCGGUCAGCAACCCCCUCAUCUAGCUCCGCUCCUCUCGGUCGCUUUGCCAAAUUCAUUGGCAAGGCACAUUCUGCUAUGAUGAAGGCCGUCUCUUUCCAGUGUGGUCAAACCCAUGACGUGGUUUCUCGCCUAGUCUCCUCCAAGAAUGCCCUCAAGGCUCGUCUGAGAGACUCGGGCGCUCUUGAUGUGAGUGAUGAUGAGGCCCUUCUUGCUGCUCCUCCUUCUGACUUUGGCUUCCCAUCUGGUCCUGAGUGGGCUGAUUUUCUUGACGAGGCUGGUGGCAGUGGUUUGCCUGAUGAUGAGGAUGAUGCCUGAUUAAUGAUGAUAUUGAUGAGGGUGAUCCUUGAGUAUGUGAUAGCAUUGCUGGUUUUCCCUCCUUUUUGGUCCUUGAUGCCAAAGGGGGAGACCAUUAUCUUAUCUUAGUUUUCGAUUUUAGUUCCUCUCACAAUGUAUGGUAUGAUGUAUUAUGUCGAACUUAAUGAUGUAUCAUCAUGUAACAAUACUUAUGGAUGGUGUGCUAUGCCAUCACCUAUGGAUGAUGUAUUGUUGAACUAUCAUGUGGUGAUGAGAUAUCACGAUAUUAUCGUUGUGUCAUAUGAUGAUGAGUUUUAUGCUAUCCUAUUGAUUCAUAUGAUAUGCUAUGUAUUGUUGAACUAUUAUGGUGUUAUAUCAUGCUAUUAUCUUCAAUGCACACAUUAAGGGGUAGCUCUCGCACUUACCUAUUUUACUAUGCAUAUAAUAAGGGGGAGCUUCAUAAGCAUCGUAACAAAACUCUCCUAAGCCACACAUGUCUAUUACUAUUGUUGAGAGCUAUAUGUAUGUUGUCAUCAACUACCAAAAAGGGGGAGAUUGAAAGUGUAGUCAUGCCCUUAAUCGUGUUUUGGUGUUGCUGACAACACACAUAUAGAUAAUUAAUCACUAACCCUUUUUAAGCUAUUGUGAAUGAUCAUGUGUUGAUAGGGACAAGCUCAUGUUCUAACAAGGACAAGAUCAAGAUAAGCAUUCCUGAGCACUACAUGCUUGAUCCUUGUGGAUGUUCACAUGGUGGACAAAUGAAGAUAAAUAUAUAAGCUAGGCUUUCCACAUUGUGUAUGGGAGAGAUACUUGAAGACUUCAUCAUGUCUUGCUUUCAACAUUGAGCCAAGAAGGAACAACAACAUCAAGCUCAAGUGAAAGGGCUAACUCAAGGUAUCAGUUACUUUGAUGUUAGCGGUGCGGAGUGAUGAUCAGCGAAUAAAAGUACACACUCAAGUAUGGAUCAUCGGUAUCCCUUUUACAAUUCUUGAGUCUUUAGGGAUCCCGAACUAUUAAGAGGGGAUCACAGGUUUUUGUGAUGAACUUGCUCAAACUAGAUAUCCACUAUUCUGCUCAAUACCACAUAUUCUCUACUCUGCUCCUAUCUCAAAACAGGUCUAAUGUCUCGGACUUCCGGCUCCCUCCGGACGUCCGAGGGCCGGUCAAGGGUCGGACGACCGACAGGCUUCGGAAAUCCGGAGCCCUGCACCAGAAGAACUUGAGCCCUAUAACUCGGAUUUCCGGCUCCCUCCGGACAUCCGAGGGUCGGUCGACCGACCAGCUUCGGAAAUCCGGAGCCCUGCACCAGAAGAACGUGAGCUCUAUAACUCGGAUUUCCGGCUCCCUCCGGACAUCCGAGGGUCGGUCGACCGACCAGCUUCGGAAAUCCGGAGCCCUGCACCAGAAGAACGUGAGCUCUAUAACUCGGAUUUCCGGCUCCCUCCGGACGUCCGAGGGCCGGACGUCCGACCCCUUCGGAAAUCCGGAACCUUGCACCAGAAGAAGUUGAGUCGAAUAACUCGAAUUUCCGGCCUUCUCCGAACGUCCGGUCCCUGUUCAACUCACAGUGUUUCCAGACAUAUCUACAGCUCUCGGACGACCGACCCCUGUCGGACGUUCGACCCCUUACGGACGCCCGGACUUCCGUAAACUGCCGGACGUCCGAACCCUGUGUGACUUAAAGUGUCCCCAACGGCUGUUUUUACACUCCCCACUAUAUAUACCCCCUCCCACUUCGUGAGAGGGUGUCCAACACAGCCAUAUCCUCAUAAGAACACAUUUCUACCUCACACACAUUUGCUCACACCAAAUCUUAGAUCCCAAGAGCAUUUGUGAGCCCCUUUGAGAGUUGUUCCAAUCAAAAGAUAGAUCGUCUCCCUCUCCUUCUCUCAACCCAAGCUAUUUGAGAUUUGAGCAAGUUUUGAGCAUUCCCCGUGAUCUUGUUACUCUUGGAGGUUGGAGACUCCUAGGCGGUAGGAGUUCUUCGGAGAGGAAUCAAUCCGUGUGAUUACCCCCGGAAAAGUUUGUGAGGGUUUGGAAGCCACCUCAAAGGCUUACCACUAGUGGUUGAGAAACGCCUUCGUGGUGUUAUCUCAAAGGGAGAAUAGGGUGAGCCUUCGUGGCGUUGGUGUGCCUUCGUGGUAACAUCCACCUCUCUAACGGUGACUAGCUUCCCUCCAAGGAAGUGAACAUCGAGAUACAUCUUCGUCUCAGUGACCUUGGUUAUCCUUGACCCUAACUCCUUACUUGUGGUUUACUUGUGUUACUUGAGCAUACAUACAUUGCAUAUUGGUUGUGCUCACUAUAUUGUGUUGGCUAUUUCUUGUACAAUAUUAAUCACUCAAGCAUACCCUCUAUAUCCACACGUUCACACUUGCAGCUUUUGAUAUAUCGUGUGAUAUAGCGUGAUCUAGUAUCUUGUGUCGUUCACCUACUUGUCGUGUGAUAUAGCUCAAGUAAGUUUGUGUAACUUACUUGUGCUCGUUAGUAACUAUAUUGUGUCCAUCUUGGUAGAUCGUGUUGUUGAUACACGUUGCAGUGCCUAGUGCAUUUAGGAUUUGUGCUUGACAAGUACCCUCUUAGUUUAUUUCCGCAUUAGGUUAAGCCAAAUCCGAAGAAGUUUUUAAAUAGCCUAUUCACCCCCCCUCUAGGCGUCAUCGAGUGCUUUUCAGUUGGCCAAGCUCAAGAAGACCGAAAAAGAUUGUAGAUGUGAUCUUGCACGGCAAAUUGCAUUGUGUACAAUAAAGGAAUAAUAUGGUGAGUUCAAUGUGGAAAACCACGGCCAGGUCAUUGAUUGGUUAGUGAGGCAACCAUUUUUGCCGCUAUCGAAGCAGGCUUCUCAUUGGGCAUGGGUGAAAGAAAGAAAUGAUGUUCUUUGUUGUAAUCUGGGACCGUACGACAAAUAGAUUGGUGCUCAUUAGCUUAGCAUUCGGCUAUGUAACCUUCGUCAUUUGAACUAUAAUGACAUGUAUCCAUUUUGUUACCAUUUUCUCAUUUGAACCAUUAUGACUUGUACCCUUAUCAUUUGAACUCCUGAUGAACUUGAUGUCCUAUGUCAUAUUAAGUAAAUUGAUGUUCUAUAUUUCAUUUAAGUCGUGUUUUGUUGUAUGUCAUUUGAACUAAUCUUUGAAACCGCAAUAUUCAUGUACGAUGGUCGUUCCAGAAAUCGUUUUGCGGGUAGCAAUGGAGAAAUGUUUAGAGGAGUGACGCAGUUGGGUGAUGGCUCAGCUUGAAGCAUGGAUAAAGAGUUACGAGGAGGCAAAUGCAGUUACGAUGGAUUUCAACAAGUAUCACUUUUGCAAGAAUAAGAAAGUUGUGGAAGAAAAAGAAAAGAUACUUCAUGAGCUGCAGGAGAAGGAACAUACUUGUAGACACGCUUUGGCAAUGGAGAUAUCAUUUUCUAUCAGCAAACAAGAAUUCCAAGAGGUGGACUUGACAAGACUUGGACAGGUUAUUGGAUGGGCAAUCAAACAAGGUGUGUCGGAGAAUCCUAACUGACGUGCUCGAUGGGAUUGGUUCCGCGCUGUAAAAGAUGUGAUGAUCCAUUUGUCGGGAUCCGCUGAGUUUGUAUUGGAGCCUAAUCGUGAGUGUGAUGAAUAAAUUGAACGUAUUAAACAUAUUAGAGAUUGGUUGCCGGUGUAGAACAAGAUUGUAAUGACUUGUAUCCUUCUCACUUAAACUCUUCAAUGUAAUGAACUAUGUCGGAAUUAUUUGACAACUCCUCAAGCCUGGUUAUUUUAUGUUAUGUUUGAUUGUUUUAUUGCAAAAAGAGUCUAUUAGAGUUUAUUUACUGAUUAUUCUAGGACCCUACCGCCACGCCCUCUGACAGUAGGUUGUCAAACCCUACUGUAGAGAAAAUCAACAUUCAAGACAACAAAGAGCUUGCACUAAAUCCGGUACCCUACUUCCGGGGUCACGGGGGUAGGCUUGGGCACCCUACCGCCCAGGUCCUUGGAGGUAGGCUGCAAAGCACGCAAAAAAGCCGCCCCAAAGUCCGAGAUCUUACCGCCACUCCAUUUGGUGAUAGGGUGUCAAACCCUAUCGUAAAAAAACCAACAUUCAAGACGACACACAACUUGUACUAAAUCUAGUACCCUACCGCUGAUGCGCCUCCAACGUAUCUAUAAUUUUUUAUUGUUCCAUGCUGAUAUAUUAUCAUUCUAGAAUACUUUUGGGUUGUUUAUUUACCCAUUUUUAUUAUUUUUGAGCACUAACUUAUUGACCCAAUGCCAGUGCCAAUUGCUGUUUUCUGCGUGUUUUUCACUUUUCAGGUUUUCCAUACCAAACGAAGUCCAAUUGCCCUGAAACUUUUAUUGUUUUUUCUGGACCAAAAGAAGACCAACGAGCAUCGAAAAAAGGCUGGAGGCCUUACGAGGGGCCCACAAGCCAACAGGACGCGUCCGGGGGGGGGGGGCGGGGGGGNNNNNNNNNNNNNNNNNNNNNNNNNNNNNNNNNNNNNNNNNNNNNNNNNNNNNNNNNNNNNNNNNNNNNNNNGGGGUGGGUGGGCUGAUAGCUUGUGCCUCCCUCGUGGCCCUCUAGACUUCGUUCUUUGUGCCUCCCUCGUGAACCCAUCCUCAUCCAAUUCUUCCUCUGGACCCUCAUAAUCUGAGCCAUACCCACACAUACGGGUAUAAGGGAGGGUACGAACCAUGUCUUGUUGGUGCACAAUUGAAAGGACGUGGAUGUCGCCUAGAGGGGGGGGUGAAUAGGCGCUUUAAAAUAAUUAAGGUUUAGGCUUGAACAAAUGCGGAAUAAAACUAACGUUUAAUAUGUCAAGCACAAAACUUACAAACAACUAGGCUCACCUAUGUGCACCAACAACUUAUGCUAAGCAAGAUAAACAACUAAGUGAUAGCAAGAUAUAUUACAAUAAACAAUAUGUCUAUCACAAAGUAAAGUGCAUAAGUAAAGGGUUCGGGUAAGAGAUAACCGAGGCACGGGGAGACGAUGAUGUAUCCCGAAGUUCACACCCUUGCGGAUGCUAAUCUCCGUUAGAGCGGUGUGGAGGCACAAUGCUCCCCAAGAUGCCACUAAGGCCACCGUAAUCUCCUCACGCCCUCGCACAAUGCAAGAUGCCGUGAUUCCACUAAGGGACCCUUGAGGGCGGUCACCGAACCCAUACAAAUGGCAAACCUUGGGGCGGUCACUAAACCCCUACACGUGGCAACCCUUGGGGGCGGUUACCGGUACCCGUACAAAUUGCUCGGGGCUAUCUCCACAACCUAAUUGGAGGCCCCGACGCUUGCCCGGAGCUUCACACCACAAUGAUUGAGCUCCGAGACACCACCAAGCUUCUAGGAUGCCAAAGCUUCUAAGUACCAAAGGUAGUAAGCUUCUCAACUUCUCACUUCCAUGUAUCACCGUGGAGAACUCAAACCGAUGCAACUAAUGCAAUGGCAAGAACACACGAAGUGAUCAAGUCCCUCACACUCAAAUCCCUCCACAACAACAAAAGCUAUGGAGAAAUAUGAGAGGAAGAACAAGGAGCUCACAAAGAACUCCAAGAUCUAGAUCCAAGGGGUUCCCCUCACAUAGAGGAGAAAGUGAUUGGUGGAGAUGUGGAUCUAGAUCUCCUCUCUCUUUUCCCUCAAGAACAAGCAAGAACCAUUGGAGGGAUUGAGAGUUAGCAAGCUCUAAGAAUGUCAACAAUGGAGGUAGAACAAGAGCUCAACGGAUGGAUAAAACCAAGGGGGAAGAAGACCCCCUUUAUAUAGUGGGGGAAGGAAUCAGACUGUUACCCCCACUCUCUGCCCGAGCUCCAGCGGUACUACCGCUGGCUGCAGCGGUACUACCGUUGGCUGCAGCGGUACUACCGUUGGGCCCCUGGUAGUGCAAAGGCACUACCACCGCCAAGAAAGUCUUCGCAAAAAGGUCCGUCCAUGAACAACCGCUAGGCAGGCAGUACUAAGCUCCUGGAGCGGUACUACCGCUGACCAGGGGCGGUACUACCGCCAGCCAGCGGUACUACCGCUAGGGCCAGCGGUACUACCGCCAACUCUAGCAGUACUAUCGCUAGGUCAAGCGGUACUACCGCUAGGUCCAGCGGUACUACCGCUCGCCACUGAAACAGCCAUAACUUUCGCAUACGAGCUCCGAAUCGAGCAAACCCAAGCUUGUUGGAUUCAGGACGACGAGAGCUAUCCAAACAGCGACUGGAAAUCUUAAGACCAUGCAGAUAUGAAAAUGCCAAUGAUAUAGAGAUGUGAGUCCUCUAUGAAUGAAGAACUGGCAAAAACUCCAACAUCGAAAACAUCAUAGUAGAUGCAUAUGGACUCCGUCUUCGAUGAACUCGAGCUUGUCACAAAGAUGACCAUAAGCUCUAAAACUCACAAAGAGAAACACCAAACAAGAACCAAGAAGUAUGAUGCAAGGAUGCAAAUGGUUUGAGCUCUCAACGAACGAUACGUUCAAGCUACUCACUUGAGAGCCCCCCUUGAUAGUAUAGCAAUCUAUCCUAAACAGAAAACCUAUCAAGGGCAAACCUAUACCUUGCACCUCGUCCUCUUGAGCUAGAUGAUGAUGAUCUUGGCUUCCUCAAGAUGGACCACCUUUCUUGAUUGCGUUGGCUUGAUGAAGACUAAUUGAUUGCUCCCCCAUACUCACUAUGGGUGAGCCACUCUUCAGCAUAUCUUCACAAGUCCAUUGCCACCACAAUGGACGGCAAACUUCAAGCAUGAUAUCUUCGUGCUGAUCCACUUGAACUUGCACAUCGCAAUCUUGAUGACGAUCACAACUUGACGUCAUACUUCAUGGGUUGUAUGAGAUCUUCCCUUUGACGCAAGCCCAUGGAAACACACCUAACCCCCACAUAGAACUCUCACGAAGACCAUGGGUUAGUACACAAACACGUAAUGGACAAUGCUUACCAUACCACGGGAUCACUUGAUCCCUCUCGGUACAUCUUGUACGCUUUGUGUGUUGAUCAUCUUGAUUUACUCUUUGUCUCAGAUCUUGAUCAACCAUGUGUCUCUAUGACCAUUCUUUGGAUAAUACCUUGAAUACCACCUUGGUCAUCAUAUAAACUCCUUGAACCCAACAGAUGGACUUCAAGAAGUGCCUAUGGACAAAUCCUAUAAAUAUAACUUAAGGCAACCAUUAGUCCAUAGGAAUUGUCAUCAAUUACCAAAACCACAUAUGGAGAUAUAUGCUCUAACAAUAAUGACAUCCAAGUUACCAAUGGGAUUGUAAUAAAUCUCUUCAUCUUCCGCAUAAGCAUCCUCUUGAGUAACAAUAGCAUCAUCAUCAAUAUGACCACUAGCAUCUUCUUGAACAUGAGGAAUAGCAUCAUCUCAAAGUACUAGGGUUCUAGCAUUGAUAUCCUUUUUGAUUAGUGGUUGGCUACUUGGUGGUUGGCUAGAAGAAUUGGGGACAUACACCUCCACACUAACAUCAUGUAUUGGGGAGAAUACAUUGCGAUUCAAAUCAAUUCGGAGUGGAGGAGCAUCAACCUUUAUGGCAAAUAUUUCAAGUGAAGUGUCUUGUGAUGCGUCCACUUUUUCCUUGUACACAUCCCAAUGCAAUUGGGAGGUGAUGGGCAUACUCUUUAAUCGGGACUUUAAUCCCAAUCCAACGUCAUACCUCCUAAUAAGAUUAACCUCGACAAUUGGGUCAUUCCAAUGUAAGACGCUUCUCAAUUUCACUAUAAGAUCAUCAAAGCUUGGACCUGUGUCAAAAAUCAUAGCCUCUCCCCCUUCAUCGUCAUUUCCAUUCAUCAAAGUCGCCUUGUUCAAAUAGUGAACAUUUAAGAGCCUACCCAUCUAAGAACAACGGAAACAAUGAAACAAUGAAACAAUAAAGUCAACUACAUACUUUAUGCACACAUUAAACAAAUAACUUCUAUUAAUUCUAUUCAAUCAAGAAAAAACACAUGGUCCAUCAUCAUUACCUUAAACCUAACCCCAACCCUAAUCCUAAACCUUAACCUUAACCUAAUCACUAACAUGACCACUAAUCCUAGCAUUAGAUCUCGGUACCCCCAACAAUGAUAGGCCCACAAAACAUAUACGAAGCACAAACAUAACAAAAAAUGCAUCAUAUUCAUCAACUCCAUCAUAAUUUUAGCAAAAGCUAGGGUUUGCAAAUAAGUGAGCAAAUCAACCAUAAUAGAUGAUUUCAAUCAAGAAAAAAAGAGGGGAGUAGGAGAUGCACCUUGGGUGAUGAAAAUGCUCCGAAUCCACCGGUUAAAUCCCAAGCAAAUGUCAUCUUAUCCAUGUCAGGACCCUACCGCCAGGGUCUACCACGGUAGGUGUAGAUACCCUACCGCUAGGCUGGUUGGCUUAGGUCCUUUCUCACGUCAACGACUAACUGCCAUCCGUCGUCCUCCGUCAAUCUAUCGUCACGGGCGCCGACGGUUGUGCCAGCCUACCGCAACGGCCUACAAUGGUAGGUGAAAGAGUCAAAUCCUGAUUAUUUUUUUCAAACUAGGGUCAAAUGUCGAUUUACCUCACAAAAAAGUUCAAAACACGAAAUUUAGCCAAGGAGAGGCAAGCUUCNNNNNNNNNNNNNNNNNNNNNNNNNNNNNNNNNNNNNNNAAGGAGAGGCAAGCUUCGUUUUUGGAUCCACCUUCGCCGCAGAACGCCAAACUUCCUGGACACCCAAAUUGUCACUAGGUCCAAGUCGUCACCUACAUUUUACACAUGUCCAACAAACCAUGUCAUCUCUAUCUCAAACAGAGCCAGAAAAAAGAGAGAAUUAAAUUUCAUGACAGCCUGACCGUGUCUUAAGUCCAGAAAACGACGUCAAAUCAUUCAAACAAAACGGACGCGUGGUAUGUGCUGUAGAGAUCUGAUCUAUCCAUCUAACCAAAAAGUGAGGCGUUGGUCCAUCCAACCGGGCCUGAAUCAGCUAUGUGGUCCACACCUGUCAUCCAUCUCAUGUUUGACCUAAAACAGCCCCCCCNNNNNNNNNNNNNNNNNNNNNNNNNNNNNNNNNNNNNNNNNNAACAAAGCCCCCCCCCCCCCCCCCCCCACCACAUAUUGUUUUCCAAAGAAAAGAAUCUCGAUAACUGCUUUGCUUGUAUUUACAGCUUCCUUCCUACAGGCACGAUGAAAUGAUCUGGAGCUAUUCUACCUUCAACUUAAUCCCAUUCGAUGCAGGCGUCCUAGCACUAACCUUUGCUGGUUUCAUAUAUUUUACAGCCCAAAAUUCUUUACUACCCUACGACAUUUUCUCGGCGCCAUGCGUCACGAAUUCUUCCCCCUUUUCUUGUCCCUGGGUUCAUGGCCCAGGUGAUGACUCUGGAGAAGAUCCGAGAGCGUGAUCUUUCCACAGUUUCCUGAGUCCAGCCUCUGGAACUGGUCCACGAUCAUCCUGAUGUCCUUAUCCGAAAUCUUCCCCAUCUCUUUCAGCUUGUAGACCACAAACUCCGAUUUCCUGAAACAACGCGAAUGCAAAACAUUAACCAAUACAGCUGCUACAACCAGGCAAGUUGUAUAAAAAUGGAACUAAAACAAAUGCUCUUCCAGGAAGUGUGACGGAAAAUAUUUCUUAUUAUUCCGUUCUGGCUGUGAAGUAACUGUUAGCUAAAAGUAUUAACACCAUGAGCAUUUCGAGAAAAUUGUCUAUUUGUGUUGCCACCAAAUUAAACGUAAAUAACUAAAUGUGGGUGUAAUAUGCAGUUUCAGGAGUACAGAGCAGUCUGAUGCAAUCAGCAGCCUAAAUGACAUUGAUUUACUAUUGCAAUCUGAAUAUUGUGUUUGAAUGACAACUGGUGUAUAAUGCUAAGGCAGACAUAAAAGGGUGCAGCUUCCAUCUUUUAUUGCUUAUAAGCGCGCUCCAUUUUCUUUCUUGUGGUGCUAGACGCAAAUCACUUGGAUGCAUACAUGCCAAACCCAAGCAAACAACAAAUGCUUCUCAACAAAAUGUUCAAAUCAAUGUGCUAAGAAAUGGAUGCAGAAACAAGUUAUUUACCAAUUCAACAUAAAUUAAGGUUACUAAAAUGGAAUGGAUACAAUUAUAAUACACGCCAAAGACCACUAUAUUUUCUAUGUUGAUGAUUGUUGAGAACCACUACACUUUCAAUGUUGAUAACAAUUGAGAACCAUACUUGCCUACCAUAGAAAAAUACAAAAAGAUGAGAGUAGCUGUGAGCUCUUAAGGGUUAACAUCAAUGGAUUCUGAAAUAAUUGCGCAUAUAAAAUAUAAAAUUAAAUGCAUUAUUGAAACAUCAUCAAGAUAACUGACUGAAUAUACUAUAGGUGUACAGAAAUCACAAGCGAUGAGGUGCAAUGCAUAAAGUAUUGCAAAUAACAAUUCUUAGCGCUAGGCUGAAAGCAAAGAAUUGAAUAUUCUACAAGAAUGCUAUGUUUGGGAGAAAAAUAGCUUUAUACAUAUUGGGAUUUUUUUCCUUUUUCUUUUUGGAGACAAGUCAAAUGUGAUAGAAAUCAAGCCUUAUUGUGCACACCAACUAACAAGCGAUAGAAUCAUGAAAGAAAUGUGUUGUAGGGCACAAUUCUCUCUUCCAAAUUAAAAGGAAGACCAAGGGGGUGAGCUAUUGCAACAAAAAUACAGUAUCUUGAAUUCCUCUAUUCAUAUAGCAUAUUAGAGAAUAACUACAGAAUCCACCAUCACAAAUUUUCAAUACAGUGUGCACAUUUUUAAACUACCUCAUAAUCAUAAUCGUCAAUUAUCCCUGACUAAUUUUAUGCGUAGUGAAGUUCUACAACACAAGCAAAAAAAAUUGUGUCUGCAGUAGGAAGAACCUCAGCAAACUAUGUGAAUACCUCAGUAUAAGAAAAACAGGAUAUGGUAUAGCUUCAUAACUAGUGGAAAUAUCUUUCAUUAUGAUAAAUGAUUGUACUACAGCAUGCAUAUGAUGAUAAAUAAACAACAUUAUGGACAAUGUGUUGUCUUAUAUAAGGACAUUACCAAAAUAAAUUGUUCUCUUACAAAUUAUUAUGUACCCUAACAUAACGCAUUUCUGAUGGGCUCAGGGUUGUCAUACAACACAAAGCAUGGUUGAGUUACCAAAACAUGCACAAAAGUCAGCAAUACAAUACUCAUAAGUUGAUUCAUUUACUCAGUCCCGAAGAUUUCAUUAAAAUUUACAAUUGUAUUUUACUAAUAAAAACCAUCCUUCCCCCACACGCCAUACUUUACAUAGGUAACCAUUCCGGAUCCUAUUAUGGCACGCUUCUGAGUUGAAAAGGCUGUCAAGCCCUUUGGAUUUAGUGCUCUUGCCAUCUUACAGCCCUUUAAUUGCGCUCUAUAAUAUUUUAAAGCAACAAUCCAUCACAGAAACAUAAGCAAAAUACAACGACCAAAUAACCAUGGCUAGACAACCGAUUUCAUAAUUUUAUUCGUACUACUCCCUCCGUUCCUAAAUAUAAGUCUUCAGAUACUUCAAUAUGGACUACAUAUGGAGCAAAAUGGGUGAAUCUAGACUCUAAAAUAUGUCUAUAUACAUCCAUAUGUAGCCCGUAUUGAAAUCUCUAGAAAGACUUAUAUUUACGAUCGGAAGGAGUAUAUGCCAACAAAAAUAAGUAGUGUGGUCAUAAUUCACCAGAAUCACAACUGAUAGAUGGUGUAUAUAAUUAUUCCACAUGCAUUAUAUUCAAAGCCCACAUAUAUCCAGUCCCCAAACAGCAUGUUCUUCACCCCAUAUUCAGAUUAUAUAUUUGAGCAAAUUCAAAAUGCAGCACAAAACAAAUAAUAUAUCAAGCACUAAGUUGAGUGAAAAAAUAAAUCAUAUAUCAAGUAUUAAGCUGAGUCAUUGUUUUAUAGUUUCCAUUUUUAGCUUUAUGUAAGCACAAUACAACUGUCAGGAUUAGGAAUAACCCAUUGUAAAAAAUAAGCCACAAAACGUAUUAGCUCAUUUGUGGAAAUUAUAACAGUGUGUCAGGGAGUGCUAAUAAUACACCUACUGUCCACUAGCUGGCAUCAAGAUAUUCUAUGGCUUGUACUUGUGAGUUCAAGUGUGACUAUACUGUAACUGAAUGCCAGAGCUGUUGAUAAUGUCAAUGAUGUGCUGGUCUCCAACCAGCACACAUGUUGCUUAAUGUCCGCGAGUUAAGUCUGCAGGGACAUAGUACUUUCAAAAUCGUUGUACAUGCCAAAUUGGUGAAUGGUAUUCAACACAAAGUUCCAUACACGAAUUGGUCAAUGCAGGCAUGAAAAUAAGGUUUAGUGCUGCGAUAACUUACGUGACAUAGCCAUUGUUGUCGAUAUCUGCAGCGAGAAACUCUGACACGGUCAUGUCUCUGGAGAGCACCCAGUUGGCCAUUGCACGGUGCCUCUUGUCGAUCCUCAUCUCCGCCAAGUAGAGGAAUGCCCGUGCCACGGCUAGCGUGGACACAAGAAGCCACGCAGAGGCAAAAAGGCGUCCAUGCAGCGUCCUGAACGCGUGAUCGCCGUACCCGACCGUGGUCACCGACAUCACUGCAAGGUAAACGGCAUCAAGCCAGCCCAUGCUCUCCACCUUCCUGAGCACGGUGGCCCCAACGCCGACGCAGAUGGCCACCACACCAAGGGCAAGGGCGACCUUCAUGCGGACGCGCAUUCGGCCCUUCUUGAUGUCAAAGAUGUAGUUGUGCCUGUGCUUGCGUGCAGAGCGGGGGUUCUUGAUUGCGGUGAUGAGGAGGUGCUCCUGGAGGUCGAGCACAUAGGACACCAUGCCGGAGAGGAGGAUGUCGACGAAGCCGAAGCCGAUGAGGACGAAGGAUAUGGCGAAGAGCUUGGCGGCAGGGCUGGCCGGGGUGAUGUCCCCGUAGCCGAUUGUGCAGAGCGUGACGAUGCAGAAGUAGAGGGCGUCGACGACGGGGUGGGUGGGCCCGGCGGAGGAGGUGAAGUUGGCCGGGAAGGCGGCGUAGAAGGUGACGCCGAGGGCGAGGUAGGCGAGCAAGAAGAGGAAGGCGUGCAGCACGAUGGCCGGCCUCCGCGGCGGCGGUGGCGGGUUGUGGUGGUCGGCCUCGGCGGAGGCGGCGAGGACGGCGGCGCUGAGCGGCGCCAUGGCGGGCGCGGUGCGGGAGCGGUGGAGGUUGGUGCGGCCGCUGAUGAGAUUGAAGAGCGAGGGCGUGGUGGGCUGGGGCGGGGCCUCCUCGUCGGAGGGAGGGGAGGAGGAGCAGGACGGGUGGUCGUAGUCGCGGAACGGGUCCGCGUGGCCGACGGAGAUGCGGCGGUAGUGGUGGUGCCCCGACGGCGGGGGAGAUGAGGUGAUUGAAGGUCGAAUGAGGAGGAGGAGGAGGAGGAGGAGGAGGGAAGGAGGGAGGCGGAGGCGGAGGCUGCGGGACGUUGGCGAUGGCCACUUGACGACGGCGAUGCCUA